AUCGUUUAACGCCCCUAGCUAGGCAUAAAAGCGAAGAUAGAUCUAAGUAGUGCCAUCUUUGGCACUUGAUUCAUAGGUAGCUCGCAUGAUAGAUUCAUAAGGUAAUUUGACUUUAUUUCUUGGAAAGUGCUCCAUGCCUUUCUUUAAUGGAUAUUAGAAUAUAAUAUUCCCUUCCUUCAUAUCAAUAAUCGCACCAAUCGUUCUAAGGAAAGGUCUACCAAGAAUAAUAGGGCAAGAAAAAUUGCAAUAUAUAUGAAAAACGAUAAAAUCUACGGGAACCAAAUUACUAUUUGCAACAAUGAGAACAUCAUAGAUUCUUCCCAUUGGCUUUUUAAUGGUGGAAUCCGCGAGGUGCAAAUGUAAAGAGCAAUCAUCAAGAUCAUGGAAACCUAGAAUAUCACAUAAAGUUUUCGAAAUCGUGGAAACACUAGCACCCAAAUCACACAAAGCAAAACACUCAUGAUCUUUAAUUCUAAUCUUUAUAGUAGGUUCCCACUCAUCAUUAAGUUUUCUAGGUAUAGAAACUUCCAAAUUAAGUUUUUCAUCAAAAGAUUGCAUCAAGGCAUCAACGAUAUGUUUGGUAAAAGCUUUAUUUUGACUAUAAGCAUGAGGAGAAUUAACAACGGAUUGCAACAAGGAAAUACAACUUUCUAAAGAGCAAUUAUCAUAAUAAAAUUCCUUGAAAUCCGAGAUAGUGGGUUCAAUACUAUUUAAAGUCAUGACCUCUCCAAUCCCACUUUUACCAAAUUUAGCAUCAAGAUCUAAAAACUAUGAAUUCUUGGGACGCCUUCUAACUAAAGUUGACUCAUCUCCAGUCCCAUUAUUAUCAAGAUUCAUAUUGCAAAACAAAGAUUAAUAGGAGACACAUCAAUUACUUUAAGAUCUUCAUCAUUAUUUUCAUGGAAACUAGAAGAACACACCUUUACAAAGCAAUCUUUCUUAGCACGCAAUCUAGCGGUUCUUUCCUUGCACUCAUCAAUGGAAAUUCUCAUGGCUUUGAGAGACUCAUUGAUAUAAUGCUUAGGAGGAGUAGAUCUAAGUUUAAGAGAAUCAACAUCAAGCGAAAGUCUAUCAACGUUCCUAGCCAAAUCAUCAACUUUGAGCAAUUUUUCUUCAAGAAAAGCAUUAAAAUUCUUUUGAGAAAUCAUAAAUUCUUUCACACUAAUCUCAAAAUCAGAGGGAAUCUUAUUAAAAUUACCAUAAGAAUUAUUGUAGGAAUUUCCAUAAUUAUUAGAGGAAUUACUAGGGAACGGUCUAGAAUUAAAGUUUCCUCUAUAAGAAUUGUUUCCAAAACUAUUCCUACCAACAAAAUUCACAUCCAUAGAUUCAUUAUUACUCUCAAUCAAAGUAGACAAAGGAAUAUCAUUGGGAUCAAGCGGAGUAUUUUUUAGUAGCAAACAACUUCAUAAGUUCAUCCAUCUUUCCAUUCAAAACAUUGAUUUCUUCUAUAGCAUGCACUUUUCUACUAGAAGAUCUUUCGGUGUGCCAUUGAGAAUAAUUAGCCAUAAUAUUAUCAAGAAGUUUUGUGGCAUCUCCUAACGAGAUUUCCAUAAACGUGCCUCUCGCGGCCGAAUCUAAAAGAUUUCUAGAAGCAAAGUUCAAUCCGGCAUAAAAUUUUUGUAUGAUCAUCCAUAAAUUCAAACCAUGAGUAGGGCAAUUGCGAAUCAUCAAUUUCAUUCUUUCCCAAGAUUGGGCAACAUGCUCAUGAUCAAGUUGUUUAAAAUUCAUAAUAUCGUUCCUAAGAGUGAUAAUCUUAGCGGGAGGAAAAUACUUAGAGAUAAAAGCAUCUUUGCACUUAUUCCAAGAAUCAAUACUAUUUUUAGGCAAAGACAAAAACCAAACUUUAGCACGAUCUCUAAGUGAAAACGGAAAUAACUUCAAUUUAACAAUAUUAUUAUCCGUAUCUUUCUUGUUUUGCAUAUCACACAAAUCAACAAAGUUGUUUAGAUGAGUAGCGUCAUCUUCGCUAGGAAGGCCGGCGAAUUGAUCUUUCAUAACAAGAUUCAGCAAAGCAGUAUUGAUUUCACAAGACUCAACAUCAUUAAGAGGAGCAAUCGGAGUACUAAGGAAAUCAUUAUUAUUGAUAUUGGAGAAAUCACACAAUUUGGUAUUAUCUUGUGCCAUGGCAACAAGUAAUCCAACACACAAGCAAACAGAAAAAGGCAAGCGAAAAAGAGAGAGAGAGAGAGAUUGGGAAAGGGAGAGCAAAUAAAAUGGCAAGGGUGAAGUGGGGGAGAGGAAAACGAGAGGCAAAUGGCAAAUAAUGUAAAUGCGAGGGAGAUGAGUUUGUGAUGGGUACUUGGUAUGACUUUACUUGAGCGAAGACCUCCCCGGCAACGGCGCCAGAAAUCGCACGUUGGUGGGAGGUCGAAUCUUGACUUGACUUGGUUGAAGCCUCCCCGGCAACGGCGCCAGAAAUCCUUCUUGCUACGUCUUGAGCUUGCAUUGGUUUUCCUUGAAGAGGAAAGGGUGAUGCGUCAAUAGUAGCGUAAGUAUUUCCCUCAGUUUUUGAGAACCAAGGUAUCAAUCCAGUAGGAGGCUCCUCAAAAGUCCCAUGCACCUAAACACACAAACAAAGAACUCGCAACCAACGCAAUAAAGUGAGAUCCGAUAGAGAUAGUAUGAUAAGAUAAAUAUAUUUUUGGUAUUUUAUAAUAUAGAUGCAAAAAGUAAAGAUGCAAAUAAAAUUAGAUUGAAAGCAAAUAAGAUAAAAGAUAGACCCGGGGGCCAUAGGUUUCACUAGUGGCUUCUCUCAAGAUAGCAUAAGUAUUACGGUGGGUGAACAAAUUACUGUUGAGCAAUUGAUAGAAAAGCGAAUAAUUAUGAGAUUAUCUAGGCAUGAUCAUGUAUAUAGGCAUCACGUCCACAACAAGUAGACCGACUCCUGCCUGCAUCUACUACUAUUACUCCACACAUCGACCCACUCCUGCCUGCAUCUAGAGUAUUAAGUUCAUAAAGAAUAGAGUAACGCAUUAAGCAAGAUGACAUGAUGUAGAGGGAUAAACUCAAGCGAUAUGAUAUAAACCCCAUCUUUUUAUCCUUGAUGGCAACAAUACAAUACGUGCCUUGCUGCCCCUGCUGUCACUAGGAAAGGACACCGCAAGAUUGAACCCAAAGCUAAGCACUUCUCCCAUGGCAAGAAAGAUCAAUCUAGUAGGCCAAACCAAACUGAUAAUUCGAAGAGACUUGCAAAGAUAACUCAAUCAUACAUAAAAGAAUUCAGAGGAGAUUCAAAUAUUUCUCAUAGAUAAACUUGAUCAUAAACCCACAAUUCAUCGGAUCUCGACAAACACACCGUAAAAAGAGUUUACAUCGAAUAGAUCUCCACAAGAGAGGGGGAGAACAUUGUAUUGAGAUCCAGAAAGAGAGAAGAAGCCAUCUAGCUAAUAACUAUGGACCCGAAGGUCUGUGGUAAACUACUCACAACUCAUCGAAGGGGCUAUGGUGUUGAUGUAGAAGCCCUCUGUGGUCGAUUCCCCCUCCGGUGGAGCGCCGGCGAAGGCUCCAAGAUGGGAUCUCGCGGAUACAGAAGGUUACGGCGGUGGAAAUUGUGUUUCGGUGGCUCCCUGGAUAUUUUCGGGAUACGUAGGUAUAUAUAGGAGGAAGAAUUACGUCGGUGGCCGCUUGUGGGGCCCAGGAGACAGGGGGUGCACCCAGGAGGGGUGGGCGCGCCCUCGUAUCUCCUGGCCGCCUCGUUUGUUGCUUGACUUGCACUCCAAGUUCUUCGGAUCACGUUCGUUCCAAAAAUCACGCUCCCGAAGGUUUCAUUCCUUUUGGACUCUGUUUGAUAUUCCUUUUCUUCGAAAUACUGAAAUAGGCAAAAAAAACAGUAAUACGGGCUGGGCCUCCGGUUAGUAGGUUAGUCCCAAAAAUGAUAUAAAUGUGUAAAAUAAAGCCCAUAAACAUCCAAAAGGGGUAAUAUAAUAGCAUGGAACAAUAAAAAAUUAUAGAUAUGUUAGAGACGUAUCAAGCAUCCCCAAGCUUAAUUCCUGCUCGUCCUCGAGUAGGUAAAUGAUCAAAGCAGAAUUUUUGAUGUGGAAUGCUACCUAGCAUAUUUCUCAAUGUAAUUUUCUUUAUUGUGGCAUGAAUGUUCAGAUCCAAAUGAUUCAAGAUAAAAGCUUAUAAAACAUAAAAAUAAUAAUACUUCGAAGCAUACUAACAAAUAAUCAUGUCCUAUCAAAAUAGCAUAGCCAAAGAAAGCUUAUCCCUACAAAGUCAUAUAGUUAGGUCGUGCUUCAUUUUCAUUACACAAAAUACUCCCAUCAUGUACAACCCCGAUGACGAGCCGAGCAAUUGGUUCAUACUUUCUAACGCACUUCAGGCUUUUUUCAACUCUUACACAAUACAUGAGCGCAAGCCAUGGACAUAGAACUAUGGUGGUAUAUGGUGGUUGUAAAGACAAAAAGGGAGAAGAUAGUCUCACAUCAACUAGGCGUAUCAACGGACUAUGGAGAUGCCCAUUAAUAGAUAUCAAUGUGAGUGAGUAGGGAUUGCCAUGCAACGGAUGCACUAGAGCUAUAAAUGUAUGAAAGCUCAACAAAAGAAACUAAGUGGGUGUGCAUCCAACUUGCUUGCUCACGAAGACCUAGGACACUUUGAGGAAGCCCAUCAUUGGAAUAUACAAGCCAAGUUCUAUAAUGAAAAAUUCCCACUAGUAUAUGAAAGUGACAACAUAGGAGACUCUCUAUCAUGAAGAUCAUGGUGCUACUUUGAAGCACAAGUGUGGAAAAGAGAUAGUAGCAAUUGUCCCUUCUCUCCUUUUCUCUCAUUUUAUUUUUUCUUUCUUUUCUUUUCUUUUUUUUUCUUUGGCCUUUUUUUUUCUUUUUGGCCUUUCUCUUUUUUUUUCUUUUUUUUCUUUUUUUUAAAGUCUGAAGUCUCAUCCCGACUUGUGGGGGAAUCAUAGUCUUCAUCAUCCUUUCCUCACUCAGACAAUGCUCUAAUAAUGAAGAUCAUCACACUUUUAUUGAUUUACAACUCAAGAAUUACAACUCAAAGCUAGAACUAGAUUGCACCCAUGCUAGACGUUUUUGAAACGCGGCUCUGGACUGGCUUGACAUCAAUCGACCGGAGUUGCACCCACUUACAUGGUCUCGGGAUGUUAUUUGUGAUCCUAUGUUCUCUGAGUCCGAGAGAGCAAAAUUGGUUACUGUCAUGUGGGCGAUCUGGACCUCAAGAAACAAUGCCACGCAUGACAAGAAGGAACUUGAUCCUUUUCAGUCCAUGAAGAAAACCCAAGAAGCUCUAACUGUGCUUGAACUACCUCGCGACCACGCGCGAAUUUUGCCGGGACAUGGUUGGAGACCGCUGGACUUGGGCUGGAUCAAGAUCAACACUGAUGGUAGUGUUGCAAUGGAAGCUAGAAGGGGAGGGGCAGGUGGAGUCGCAAGAACACACUCAUCCUUCCUAGCUGCAUGGUGCAAACCUUACCCGGGAAUCACAGAUCCUCUUAUAGCCGAAGCACUCGCUUUACGUGAUGGUGUUCUCUUUGCUCAUCUUCGAGGCUAUUCUGAGGUUGUUUUCGAGUCUAAUAAUUUGGAGAUUAUGAAUCUCUGGAACACGCGUCACAAUGUUCGUGCGGUCGUGGUGCCUAUCUUGUCCGAGAUUAGGGAGCAUGUUAUUUAUUUUAAGUCUUUUGUAAUUCAGCAUGUAGGGAGGUCAGCUAAUGUUUCGGCUCACCUUUGUGCUAAACAAGCUAGCACCCUAGAUGUAACCGAAUGUUGGAUGGACUCCAUUCCGAGUCUUCUUGUAACCAGCCUCUCAGCUGAUUUAGCUGGAGCUGUUGGUGUUGAAUAAAGAGCUCCCAAAUUUCCCUGCAAAAAAAAGUUAGCUGAAGGCCAUCUCUACCAGUUCUUCUGCAUCCCUUUGCUUAUGUUCCGCCAAGUCAUGACUCCAAAUUUUGAAAAAAAAAAGUAAAGGCAAAAUCACAAUUACACUUUAUAGUAAAGUAUAAGGGUAAAAAUACCGAAAAAAACUAAUAUCAAUGUUUGUCGGUGCAACAUUAGGUAAGUUGGGUGCUUUUGCUGCCUUAGGUGCUUAGAAUUUUUGUUAGAAAGGACCACAUACGCUAUCAUAUUGGCAGAAAAGACCACCCGCAUACCAUAUUGACAGAAAAGACCACGUACGCGGUGGCGGCAGGUCUGGCAGCCGACACGUGGCACCUGCCGCCACAUGUGGAGGCGGCAUGACCUGCCGCCACAACCUCAGGCGGCAGCUCGGCUUCAAUAGAUUUUCGUCCGACGCAGCAACUCGCAACGGGAUAGAAGGAGGUGGCGGGCAACUCCUACAGCGCGACAGCCCGUGCAGCAGCGCGACGCGACGGCCCCAUACAAAGCAGUCAAAAACAACUCGGCCGCUUCCGAGUUUAUGCGCCGCUGCUUGCACCCGAUCCAAUACUGCCUCGCUCUUUCAUUUUCGCUCCCCAAGGCUGAGGAAAAUGUCGAGCAUGUUGGUUCCUCCAUUGCAAAGUUUUUCCACGCACAUACUAGUAUUUGUUUCUACUGCAGCACAUGGCUUGAUCAGGACUAGCAGUACUAGGUAAAUAAUAAAACAUGUCAAAACUAUGAUAGGAGAGCAGGAAUUAGCGUCACUGUACUGCCGCAGCAAAAAGGAGCUGUUGGGCCCGCCACCUAUUCCCGUUCCAUCGGCAGUAGCUGCAUGGGCCGAAAAUUUGUUGCAGCUGAGCUACCGCCUGAGGUUGUGGCGGCAGGUCUAGCCGCCGCUGGCCGUGGCGGCAGCAGCCACGUGUCAGCUGCCGGGCCUGCCGCCACAGUGUACAUGGUCUUUUUUGUCAAUACGGUUUGUAGGUGGUCCUUUCUGUCAAUACAAAAGUGUGUGUGGUCCUUUGUGACGAAAAAUCAGGUUUUGUUAGAAAGGACCACAUACGCUAUCAUAUUGGCAGAAAAGACCACCCGCAUACCAUAUUGACAGAAAAGACCACGUACGCGGUGGCGGCAGGUCUGGCAGCCGACACGUGGCACCUGCCGCCACAUGUGGAGGCGGCAUGACCUGCCGCCACAGCCUUAGGCGGCACCUGAUUUUUCGUCACAAAGGACCACACACACUUUUGUAUUGACAGAAAGGACCACCUACAAACCGUAUUAACAAAAAAGACCAUGUACACCGUGGCGGCAGGCCCGGCAACUGACACAUGGCUGCUGCCGCCACGGCCAGCGGUGGCCAGACCUGCCGCCACAACCUCAAGCGGCAGCUCAGCUGCAACAUAUUUUGAAGUUUUGUUAGAAAGGACCACAUACGCUAUCAUAUUGGCAGAAAAGACCACCCUCAUACCAUAUUGACAGAAAAGACCACGUACGCGGUGGCGGCAGGUCUGGCAGCCAACAUGUGGCACCUGCCGCCACAUGUGGAGGCGGCAUGACCUGCCGCCACAGCCUCAGGUGGCAUCUUGGCUUCAACAGAUUUUCGUCCGACGCAGCAACUCGCAACGGGAUAGAAGGAGGUGGCGGGCAGCUCCUACAGCGCGACAGCCCGUGCAGCAGCGCGACGCGGCGGCCCCAUAAAAAGCAGUCAAAAACAACUCGGCUGCUUCCGAGUUUAUGCGCCACUGCUUGCACCCGAUCCAGUACUGCCUCGCUCUUUCAUUUUCGCUCCCCAAGGCUGAGGAAAAUGCCGAGCAUGUUGGUUCCUCCGUUGCAAAGUUUUUCCACGCACAUGCUAGUAUUUGUUUCUACUGCAGCACGUGGCUUGAUCAGGACUAGCAGUACUAGGUAAAUAAUAAAACAUGUCAAAACUUGGAGAGGAGAGCAGGAAUUAGUGUCACUGUACUGCCGCAGCAAAAAGGAGUUGUUGGGCCCGCCACCUAUUCCCGUUCCGUCGGCAGUAGCUGCAUGGGCCGAAAAUCUGUUGCAGCUGAGCUGCCGCCUGAGGUUGUGGCGGCAGGUCUGGCCGCCGCUGGCCGUGGCGGCAGCAGCCAUGUGUCAGCUGCCGGGCCUGCCGCCACGGUGUACAUGGUCUUUUUUGUCAAUACGGUUUGUAGGUGGUCCUUUAUGUCAAUACAAAAGUGUGUGUGGUCCUUUGUGACGAAAAAUCAGGUGCUUAUCGCAUAGAAAAGGUCAUACGUGUGCGUAUUUGUAUCGUAGAGGUGAUGGUGCGUAUUGGUAGUUGUGGUGUAUCAUACGUGUAUGUAUGUAUGUAUAUUAUAUGUGUAUCACACGUGCAUACUCGGUUGGACAAUGCCGGGUGGGGACGGACAUGUCAACCCAGCGUGUGGCCCGCGCCUCCCUGGCACGUACGGAGCCCGGACCAGCUAGCGUCAUCGCCACCAACACGUACGCUCUUCAUCGAUGGGCGUUGGGCGAGCAUGCAAGCAACGAGCGAAGUGUAGCAGGGCCACCAGGAGACGGGACCCGAGGUUCAUUCUCGGCGGCGCCGCUGCACAGGGUAAGGUUCUCAAACGUGGCAUCGAGCAGGCCCCAAAGUCGCCGUCGCAUGCAUCCACGUUCCCGUCGCCUAUCUCUCUGACUGGUGGGUGAGUCUUUCUCUCCCCGAGCAGAUUGGGCUGGCCUGGAACGCAAGACAGCGUCCCUGCCACUGAGCGAGAGCGUCCCCGCCCUCCACAGCCGUGCGUCACUCCGGCGCUGGCGUCCACCGCACCUCUCGCGCCCCGGUUCGCUCCACUCCGACCGGUCCGGCCACCUCGUCUUCCGCCCUGGUCCCGCCUCCCUCUCUGGCACCGCCGCUUGCUACUGCCAUGACCUUAAGCCCAGAUCUGUUUCCUCCAUGGCCCGGCUGGAGGGAGAGAGGCCGAUUGUUUCCGGGCUGGGGAUCUCGGAGGGCUCGGCGGAGUCCGACGCCCUGCCGGCGGUGGAGUCUGUGCCACGGUCGGAGGCCUCUACCGCGGUGUGGGAGCGACCACCUCCAUCCAAGAAGGAGCUCUGGCGGCUCCGCCACGGCGAGGGAAACCAGGCGGGUCCCUCCAGGGCAAGGCAUGGUGGACCGCCGCCGUUGUGUGUGGAGGUGAUCCCGGAGUUGAGGGAUAGGUGCUUCCGGUGUCUUGAAAAAGGCCACUUUCGCCAUGACUGCACCAACCUGGAGGUCUGUUUCCGGUGCGGGAUGCCUGGCCAUGGCUCCCGUGACUGCAAGCGGCCCAGGAGCCCGUCCUCUACUGAUGAGCUCAUGCGUGAGGCUAUCGCCAUGGUGGCUCGCCGCGCCUCCCCGCGGGUCAGCCCGGAUCGCCCGGUGGCUCGCGCGGCCGCCCCGCCGCCGCCGCCCCCGCCGAUUCCAUGGGCGGCCGAGGUGGCGUGGCCUCGGCUGGCGCCCCCCAGGCUCCAGGUCGCCAUGGAGACGGAUGAGGGCGAAUCGGAAAUCGACGUGGUCCGGCGUUCGCAGUCCAUAGAGGAUCUGGAGCGUCAGCUGCGCUUCGCCAUGGUCGCCUACGUGGGCGGUGCUCGGCGGAGGCUGGCACCACAGCGGGUGCUUGAGGUUCUGGCGGGUAAUCUCGACAUCACGGAGGAUCAAGUCUCGGUUCACAAGUACAGGCCGGAGGAUUUCUUGGUGGUUUUUGCCUCGGCGGCGAUCAGGAACAGAGUUGCGGCGUGCCCGGAGGUGGAGUUUCAGGGAGACCAGCUGCUUUUUAGGCCAUGGAACCGGCAGUCGCAGGCAGUGCACUCGAUCUUUGGCUUCAAGGUUUGGAUCGUCAUGGAGGGGAUCCCUCCCCAUGCUUGGGAGAGGGAGAUGGCGGAGGAGCUGCUUGGGACGGCCUGCAAGGUGGACUCGGUGGCGCCGGAAACUAGCUCCAGGACGGAUCUCUCUGCUUUCAGGCUGACGGCGUGGACUGCCAAUUCGAUGAUGAUCCCUUCCCUUUGCUGGCUCGCCAUCCUGAAGCCCGGAUCGGAGAUGCCCCCGCCGCUGUUGCAGUACAAGGUCCUUAUCCACAUUGACGCGGUGGCGGACUUCAAGGAAGCAGGGGAGCCUUGGUUCUUGGGCGGCUCCUCGGACAGUGGCCAGAGUGGACUGCCAGGCUCACCGGACGAGUUCAGAGAUGGCAGACAGGGCUCGAGGCCGCGACAGCUAGUUUGGCAGUUCGGUGUGCGUGAUGUGCGAGGCGGUGAGCUUGGGCGCGAGGCUAGCGGCGGCGGCCAUGGUGGUACGGCGAGGUGCUCGGCGGAGCCAGACUGGCGCCUGCCCCCGAUGGCCCCCACCCCAGUCACCCUGCCUGGUGGGCCACCUGUGAGGUUGUAGGAUAGGGUGAUGGCUCGGAAGUCAGCUUUUGACCGCCUUUUAGGUCAGCAGAUGGGUGGGGACGCAAGGGAGAAGGUUCCUGAGUGCAGUUUGAACAGGGUUGGCGCGAUGGCUACUGGACAAGUGGUGGAAGUGCAUGUGUUACCGUUGGAGGAAGGCGCGACGAACCGGGUUGGGCAGGAUGGGGAUCCUCAGGCCGACAAACUAAUGGCAGCGGGACAGUUGCCUCUCCAGGGCACGCCUCGGGAUAGCAUGGCGACGGUUGCAUCGGGGGGGUGCGCAGGCCCUGUGAGCCAAUGGUGAGCCCCCUGCGCUCAAGGGAGAGCAAGGCGUUCCCCAUGGGUUCUGGGGGAAUGGACCCACCUGAGAAUCUCGUGUCUGGCUCAAUGCAGGAGGACAGGAAUCAGUUGGUGGGACCCGCUGGGCCACCUAUGGUGAGGGAGAAAGACAGGACUGGCGAGCUACAUGAUAAGGCUCCGGCCUUGGGCGGAGAGCCAUUAAAGGAGGGCCAUGCAGUGGCCACCGAGGGUGGGGGCCAUGACGGGAAUCAUGCACAUGCAUCAUGCAUGGAGGCAUGCACGUACGGCGCCACAGAUUACAUUAACAAGGUCGUGGAGGGCGAUCGCUCUGAGGAUUUAGAUGGGAUCAGGCAGCAGCAGAUGGCCAUUGUACCUGUUGAGCCUGAGCUGCACAGGGAAAUGGCUGCUGCUGGCUGUGACGAGCAAUCUAGUGACGAGACGGCAGGCAUGACGAUGCAAGAGGCCCAAGCCUAUGGCAAGCUGAAGAGUUUUUGCUCCAACAUCAUCAAAAAACUUGCUCCUCCACUGCUGAAGGAGGUGCAGGCUACGCAGUUGCGUCCGGAUGCAGAGCCAUUCACGCCCAAGAGAGCUAUGCAAUCUUCGAAGAAGGCUACGGGACCAAGAAGAACUAAGGAGAAUCCGGCGGAGAACGUGCUGCUCCAUGCCCUUAGCAUGGUUCCGGAGGAUAUGGUGGUCGAUGAUGGGGUGGUCCAUGAGCUCAAGGCUCUAUUUGAUUCUCCACUGCGGGAGCAACAUGUGAGAAUCAUUGCUGCUCUCUUCAGCAAGACCAUCCCAUCGGCGGUGGAUUUGGAGGCGAGCAACUCGGUGAUGAUCUCCGUCAACUAGGAGGUGGGAGGUGGGGUGGGUGGCAGGUCUCUCUAUGGAUCUACACCCCCAAGUGUUGUGCUGGAAUGUUCAUGGCCUGAACAAUCCGGCAAAGCGCAAGGCUGUGAGAGAAUUCGUGGGCACGGUGAAGUGUAACUUGGUGUGUUUCCAGGAAACCAAAAUGGAUGUAAUGGACCAUUUCAUUGUUAUGCAAUGUCUAGGGCCAUCUUUUGAUGGCUUCACUUACUUAUCGUCCCAGGAGACGAGGGGUGGCAUCUUAUUGGCGUGGGAUAGCUUGGUGUUGACGGUGGACACUUUCUAGUAUAACGCUAACUUCAUUACGGGUCUGGUACACACAAAGAUUGGAGACCCUUGGUGGAUUUCGGUGGUUUACGGGCCACAAGGUGACGAGGAGAAGUGCCAGUUCUUGCUGGACCUAGACGCGAGACAUGCGAGGAGUCCGGGGCCGUGGAUGCUGCUGUGAGACUUCAACAUGAUACUUCAUGCCGCGGAGAAGAACAAUAAUAACCUUAACAGAACGAUGAUGAACAAAUUCAGGCAGUUUGUGGCUGAAAAGAGCUCAAGGAGAUGUACAUGCACGGCCAUAAAUUUACGUGGUCCGAUGAACGAAUGAUGCCGACCCUCACCAAGAUUGACCGUGUGCUUAUUUCGGUGGACUAGGAGCUAGAGAAUCCUGCCUAUCAGCUGCAGGCGCUCUCUACUAGAGUUUCAGAUCAUGCACCUUUGCAUUUGUCCACAAGCGCUAGCUUCUGCCCAAAGAAAAGGUUCCGCUUCAAGCUUUUCUGGACGAGAAUGGAUGGCUUCGAGGAUGUUGUGAGAGAUGCCUGGGUGUGUGAUGCGGGCAUUGUUGAUCCAUAUAAGAGGUUGGAUGCUUUGUUGUGGAACACGGCUAGCCACUUGCAAGCGUGGGGCCAACGCAAGUUAGUCAAUGUGAAGAUGCUCAUGCGGGUGGCCACUUGGGUCAUUCAUAGGCUGGACGUAGCCCAGGAGAAUAGAGUUCUGCAGAUGGAGGAGGCGUGGCUACGAAGAACACUGAAACAUUCGCUCCUUGGUUUGGCCGCGCUCGAGAGAACUAUUAACCGGCAAAGGUCGAGGCUCAAGUGGAUCAAAGAGGGUGACGCCAACACCAAGCUGUUCCAAGUUGUGGCCAAUGGCAGAAGGACCAAGAACUACAUCCCUCAUAUCAAGCAUGGAGGCGAAAUCAUUACGGGCCAGGAGAGAAUGGUGGACACAUUCGGGGAGGUGUACAAGCAACUGAUGGGCACGGCACAGGCCAGGGAUCACACCCUCAACUUACAAUACCUGCAGAUGGAGCCGGCUGAACUGAGCAUGCUUGAGGAGAUCAUCACGGAGGAGGAAGUUUGGCAGGUCAUCAAGGAAAUGGCACCGAAUCGUGCACCGAGACCGGAUGGUUUCAUCGGAGCGUUCUUCCAAAAAAACGCAUAUGUGGGGGACACUAAACUGGACAUCAUGGCCGUGAUGCUUAAGCUAUAUGUGGGGGACACUGGGGGCUUUUCUAAGCUCAACAAGGCGCAUAUAAUCCUCAUUCCAAAAAAACCGGAUGCGGAGGAGGUUGGGGAUUACCGGCCGAUCAGUUCAAUCCAUAGCAUCCCCAAGCUCUUCGCUAAGGUUCUCGCCAACCGGCUGCGCAGUCAAAUGCCGGAGAUUGUGGCCAUGAAUCAAUCUGCGUUUAUUAAAGGAAGGCAUCUGCAUGAUAACUUCUUGUUGGUGCGGCAAGUGGCGCGGAAGAUUCAUGCUAAAAGAGUCCCAGGAGUGUUCAUGAAGCUGGAUAUCUCAAGGGCUUUUGACUCGCUAUCAUGGACUUUUUUGUUCGAGGUGAUGCGGGCAAAGGGUUUUGGGCAGAGAUGGAUGACUUGGAUAAUGGCAAUUCUGCACUCGGCUAGCACCAAGGUGGUGGUGAAUGGUGUUCCGAGAAGGAGUUUCUUGCACGCCUGCGGUCUACGCCAAGGCGACCCAAUCUCGCCAAUGCUCUUUGUCAUUGCCAUGGAUGCGCUAACGGCGCUUGUUCACAAGGCCUCAGAUUUGGGAGUGCGCAGCUCAUACACCGGCAUUUCGUCGCUGCAAAGGAUUUCGAUCUAUGCGGAUGAUGUAGCGCUGUUUGUCAAGCCUUCGUGGCAAGACUUGUCGGCCGUUCGGAAGAUGCUGGACGUGUUUGGAGAGGCCUCCGGACUGAAAGUUAACUACCGCAAAUCAUUGGCGAUUUUGAUCCGAGGCGACCAGGAGGACAAGGAUCGAGUGGCUGGAUUACUGCACUGUGGGCUUGCUGAAUUUCCAUGCAAGUAUCUUGGCCUACAGCUUGCCAUCAGAAGCUUAACGCGGGCCGAAUGGAUGCCCAUGCUGGACCUAGUCCGGAAGGUGAUUCCCGCCUGGCAAAGAGGCCUUAUACAGCGGCCCAGUCGGCUUGUUUUGGUUCAGUCUGUCGUUGUAGCUAGACCGGUGCACCACCUGAUGAUUACGGACGCUCCAGUGUGGGUUUUCGAGGAGAUGGAUAAAUGGAUGAGGUCGUUCUUUUGGGCUGGUAAGGAGAAAAGCAAUGGAGGACAAUGCCUGGUGGCUUGGGACUAGGUCUGCAGGCCGAAGCAGUUGGGAGGUCUAGGGAUUAAGAACUUGAAGGCCCAGGCCCUAGCCUUGAGAGUGAGGUGGGAGUGGCUUAGGAGAACUGACCCCGGCAGACCAUGGCAAAGUUUACCUAUGGCGGAGGAUCACAACGCAAGGGCCGUGUUCGACGCCAUGGUCGGGAUUGAGGUUGGGAGGGGUGAUAGCGUCCUGUUCUGGAGGGACAAGUGGGUACACGGGUUCGGCGUAGCUGACAUCAUGCCUCGCUUGAUGGAGACGGUGCCAACGAGGAUUGCUAACAGCCGGACCGUUCAUCAAGCACUCGCGGAGGACAGGUGGUAUGAGGACUGCGAAGCUACUGCUUCCUUCACUGCCCAAUUACAGUGCAUGCACCUUUGCCAUGCGCUGGCAUCGGUGCACCGAGACGAGAAUGAGCCAGACAAAUUUGAUUGGCCGGCGACGACCACGGCGACCUACUCGGCCCAAUCGGUCUAUUCCUACCUCUGCUCGGGGCUCCAGAGAUCACCGACGGCGGCUUGUACUUGGAGAAACUGGGCGACGCUCAAGUGCAAGCUAUUUAUCUGGCUAGCGCUGCAAUACAGAUUAUGGACAUUAGACAGAAGAGCACGUCACGGUCUGCAGGACCAACCAUCUCCCUGCUUCACGUGCUUACAAGCAGAGGACAAUGUUGAUCACAUUCUGGCCAAGUGUACUUUUGCGCAGGAGGUGUGGCACCGAGUGUUUGACAUGCUAGGCAUCAAUGCUCUAGGAACAACUCAGAAUGACACCUUCUCGGACUGGUGGAUGAGAGAAAGGAAAAAAUUUAGGGGAGCAGACAGAAGAGGUUUUGAUACGCUGGUGAUGGCCGGGGCUUGGAUACUUUGGAAGCAAAGAAACGCAAGGGUGCUCAAUAGACACGAUCAACAAAAGCCGGCACCCCUUUCUACUAACCUAGUGCUCGAUGAAAUCACGACUUGGCACACGGCAGGACGUGGAGCGGGACGUCUACAACGAUUCGUGAGGAGUUAGUCUAGCGCGCAUGGAGUUGGAGUAGGUGUGUGUUUCUCAUCCUGGGUUGUUCGCACCCGAGAUGAGCCUCUUGUAAAUAACUCUCUUUUUGUCUAUAAAGAUAUGGUACGCCAUUGGCGUACUUUCAAAAAAAAGUCUUUCUCUCCUACGCGCGCGACGUGAGCGGGUGGACGUGUUAAAGAAAAUACUGAGCAGUCUUUGCAUUUGUUAGCUGCAGUGUCCAAAUGCAUCUAACAAAACGAGUCAACCCAAACCAAAGCAAGCAGUAACAAGUACUCCCUCCGUUUUUAUUUAGUUCGUUAUUAGCUUUGGUAAAAAUCAAGCUUUGUAAACUUUGACUAAGUUUAUAAAUAAAAAUAUUAACAUAUACACUAACAACCCAACAUCAUUAGAUUCAUUAUUGAAUGUACUUUUACAACAUAUAGAUUUGUUAUGGUAAAUAUUUAUAUUGUUUUCUAUAAAUUUGAUCAAACUUUACGAAGAUUGACUUCAGUCAACUCUAAUAUGCAAAGUAAAUAAAAACGAAAGGAGUACUAAAAUUUUUCUAGGGAUUAGGACAAGUCAUGACCCCUGUUUUAUAAAAACAGUUACCUGAAGAAUUAGGACGCGUCUGGGAUGUAUGAGCAGCAGUAUUAAACACAGAGUCAAACCCAUAGUAGUUAACCAGCACCUCCCCUUCUCUCUCUCUACUUCUCCUUGCAAGGGAACAAGAUGAGGAAGCAAGGUUGAAGAACAGGAGCAAACAGAGCUUUUUAGAUCAUGAUCCCAAGAUGUGAGUACAGUAGUACAAUGAUAUGAUCGUCGAUCGCCCACGCGUCGAUCGGACGAUGCGUGCUGCCACUGCCCCCGGCGAUAUAUGAGGCGCCACGGGGGAGCGUCGCCGCCGUCGGGCGGGAACCUGACUCUCUCACCCGGGUGCUGAACCUCCCUCCCUCCCCAGCAACGCGCUCCGGAACCUCGAGGUGCUCGUCGCUGCAGUUCCUUCCAGGCCGGCUUCCUUCAACACCUUCCUUCUCCGGGACGUGACUGUUGGAGGCGCUCACCGGUCUCCAGGAGCUCUCGCGGUGCCGCCCCGAAACGGCUAGCUCCGCGUACGUGCUCAACCCCCGGAACAACACGUUCGCGGGCCAGCGACAUCGAUCGGCCUAGACCUUGGCGCGCUCAAGUCAAGAACGUCGACCUCGGUGUCAACAACUUCACGGGGCCCAAUCCAUCCCGGCGAGCCUCCCCGAGUGCAGGGGCAUGACUUGACGGCACUUGUUUUGUUUGGGGCCAUCCUCCUCCGAUCCUGGUUUUGCCGGCCGACCCUGCGCAUCGGCGUCACUGUGAACCUCGACGCGCGGCACGCCGAUCGAGGGUCAAGAAGCCGGCCAGCCGGAGUGGGUCGCCGCCAGCGGGAGGCUGGCCUAGGGCCGAACAGUUGGUCGGCGUGGCUGCAUCCGAACCGGAAAUCGUCGGGGUCAGCGUCAGCUUGUCGGAGCUGUACGUGCUGGUGCUGUUGGAGCCGUGGCCAUACUCGACAAGGUACUGGCAGAGCGACGAGCAGCCAUUGAAGACGUCACGGCCGAGCCCCAGGUGGCACUCCCGGAGUACGUUACAGGAGAAGGCCGAGUACGUGGCCGAUCUGCAUGGCUGGGUCGAACACGGAGUUCUUCUGGCGGUGGCAUGGCUCCGGGACGGGGCACGGGCGGCACAGCACCCACGAGACUGUUAGAAGUAUAAUUAUGUUUAAGUUAAAGAUAGGAUUGGUUUAAACCAUGUACGACUUGUCCCCUACUUCAAGUCUCUCUUACAUAUUGUACUUUAUAUAUAUCCCACACCUGGGUCAGAUCAAUACAACAACAGAAUUAUUAGUCAUCCUAUAAUUUCUACAUGGUAUUAGAGCGGUUAGUCUCACGACGCCGGUCCUAAGACCUUCCACCACUUCCGCAGUGCGCCGCCCCCGGGGAGAUCAAUCUUCUCUCCCUGGGGGCGCGGCACCCGAUCAAUCAGAGAUUAGAUCGGUUCUUGUAGUUUAGAUCAAUUUCUUGGAUUAGAUACAAAAAUUCAAAAUUCCAGUUAGAUCAAUUUUCCUUGGCCACAAAUAAAUUCCUAGAUCUCCACAAUCCUAUGUCCGCUGAAAAUUUGUGCAGAUCAAUCGUUAAUGUGUGCAAAUACGGCGACACAAGCGGCUGCUUCUCCAUCACAUGCGCCGGCCGGGUCAUCCGAUGCAAGCGACAACAUCAAGCACCAGCAGGCACCAGUCGGCUUCCAGCCCGCUUCGAUCCGAUCGCCAUCGACUCUGCCUCUGCACCGAGCACCACACCGCCCGCCAGAGAAGUCUGGGAUCGCGGGAGGGCGUCUCCCGCCCAGAUUUCCAUCGCGAACGAGUGCGCGGAUCUCCCGGCGACGUUCGCGAGCGACUUCAAUCGGCUUCCUCCCGUAGGCGCCGCUUCCGAUCUACGUCGACCCGAUCGAGGCGGAUCACGCACACAGCUUGGAUCCGAUCUACAAUGGUCUCAGGCUCACGCGCAGGGCGCAGCUACCCCGAUCCAUGCGGCAGCGACGGCGGUGGUGGCGGCGCCAACCUACUUCGGCAGCCGACACAUCGUCGAGCCAUACAAGUCUACAGCCAGCCACGAGCCGUCCGAGCGAACUACAUCGAGCGCCCGAGUCUUCCCCGAGCCGGCCCCACAAGCUUCGUCGAGCAGACCAGAAUCGUGUGGCUUCUCCGCGGCGGCACGUGCAUGGUUCAGCAGGCGCGCACGGCUUCAAUCAGCGACCACCUGCGGCGGCGCGGGACUCCGUCCAGCUCAGGCGCAAGUCAGCUUCGACCCGGCAGGCAACGUGAAUGCAAACAUCACUCGGCCACAUAUGCAUGGACGUGAGGCCCAAGAGAUUACAUGGUUGCAUGCAGGUUAUUCAUCGAUGCUAAUUACUUAGGGUUUCCGGCUGCGAUCAGAUGCAAUCCUUGAACUCGCUGCACCUCCAACCGGCCUCCUGCGCACACGGACUCCAUCGAGAGUUAUGUUCCACAAGACCACGACGCAAGAGUUUGUCUCGGAUCACGGAAGGGCAAUAUGCCAGCAUCAACCGCGGGCGCCCCAAGCACGCUACAUCGACACGCCAUCUGCACAGUUAUUCUUCGUCGAGCCCAAUAUCAACACCGAGUUGCAUCAUCCACAUGCCAGGCCGGUGUGGAAUGUGUGCAAUUCUUCAUCGACUUCUUCAGCACGACACGACAUCGACACCCCGUCGUCACGAGGGACGCCUCCAAGCGACGCAUCAUUGUCGACAUGUCGUUGCAUCGCCGACACUUCACCGCCAAUGUCUUCAUCAACAUGGUCUUCACCAACAUCAUCGUCGACACACCGCCACCGUCUCGUACACAAGAUGGACAACUAGCGUCCUCUGACAGAUUUUUUCUGCAAGACGCGACCAUGACGACGGCAAUGAUCGCGUCACGACGACGGCAUCGACCGCGUCAUCCACGACAACACGACUGCAUCGACACGGCGUCACUCCAGUGACGACCCUACACGACCACACGGUUCUGGCAAAACUGAUGUGUGCUCGAUGGGCUUCCUCCGGUCUUGGCAAAAUUGGCGGACUCAUCGCCGACGGCACCCUCUGACAUCUGCAAGAUGUAUCGUCCACGUCUGCAGCCCCGUCAUAGCGCAUUUUUUUGCGCCUCCGGCUGUGUGCGGUUUCAUCAUCCACGACGACCACACCAUCGACCACGGCUACAUCACCAUGAUCGGCUACCUAGACAUUGACAUUGAUGACUACGUCUACAGCAACUCAUCGGCAACAACUUCAGUCAACAGCGUCCGCGUCGUCACUACCGUCCACGCCACUCCCGCUGUGACUGCGGGAGGGAAUAGAGGAGAAGGCAUGAAGGCACCAGAAGGGGACGCAGUCACCGCCCUAGGUGCCAAUCCAUCAGAGACGCAGUUGAUGAUGGCGCGGCGGAGAAGACGACGAAAGCGCAAGACUUCAAAUCCAGUCAUACUCGUCCGCUUCACUCCCGCUACGACUGAGGGGGAAUGUUAGAAGUAUAAUUAUGUUUAAGUUAGAGAUUAGGAGUUAGAGAUAGGAUUGGUUUAAACCAUGUACGACUUGUCCCCUACUCCAAGUCUCUCUCACAUAUUGUACUCUAUAUAUAUCCCACACCUGGGUCAGAUCAAUACAACAACAGAAUUAUUAGCCAUCCUAUAAUUUCUACAGAGACGUUGCUGAGGUGUCGAUGUGCAUGGUCUGGGUGAUCGCUGGCGUGCCGAGCCCCACGGUGACCACGUAUAUCUAUUAACUUNNNNNNNNNNNNNNNNNNNNNNNNNNNNNNNNNNNNNNNNNNNNNNNNNNNNNNNNNNNNNNNNNNNNNNNNNNNNNNNNNNNNNNNNNNNNNNNNNNNNNNNNNNNNNNNNNNNNNNNNNNNNNNNNNNNNNNNNNNNNNNNNNNNNNNNNNNNNNNNNNNNNNNNNNNNNNNNNNNNNNNNNNNNNNNNNNNNNNNNNNNNNNNNNNNNNNGAGCAGCCGUACAGUACGUCGAAACCAUCACGACACGAAGACGGGACGCCAAGGCACCGCGCCGUCGAAACCACCUGCAGACAUCCUCUGCGCCUGUCAGAUUCUCCUUCAUUGACCUGUCCAUCGGGUCCGGCGGCCGGUGCUCUUCCUUAAGCUCGAUAUCGUAAAGGCAUUUGACUCAGUGUCUUGGCCAUAUCUGCUGGGCAUGCUGCGCGCGAGAGGGUUCGGCAGACGUUGGUGUGAGUGGAUGUCUAUGAUGCUGUCAACUGCCUCCUCCCGUGUGCUCAUCAAUGGCCAUGCGGGGGAGCUUAUCCAGCACCGGUGUGGCCUUCGACAAGGUGACCCGCUCUCGCCUUAACUCUUCAUUCUGGCGAUGGAGCCGUUGCAGCGCAUCCUGGAUCUCGCCGUCCCCGCGGGAGCCAUCUCGCCGCUCAGAGGAAGGAUCCCUCGGUUCCGCACCUUGCUCUACGCGGAUGACGUGGCUCUCUUCCUCAAUCCCGUCCGAGCUGAGCUGGCCAUGGUGCGCGCCAUUCUCACCUCCUUCGGACUGGUCUCGGGGCUGCAUGUCAACUUCUCCAAGAUUGUGGUCUUCCCAAUCUGCUGCGAGCUCCAGGACGUGCCCAAUAUCGCCGAACCGCUCGGGGCUGAGGUCUCCUCCUUCCCUUGCAAGUUCCUUGGCCUGCCUCUUUCCCUCAGGCGGCUACGCAAGAUCGACUGGAUGCCUUUGCUGGACAAGAUCCGGGCGCGCCUGGCAUUCUGGAAGGCCACGCUGCUCUCCAUGGCAGGCCGAUUGGUCCUCUUUAGGCCAACUCCACCGCGCGAACCUAUCAUGUCCGCCCCCGUCCGUUUGGGGUAAAAGGGACAAACGAGACGGCCCAGCGCGCGCAAAUGGACUUUUGUCCGCUUUCGACCCAUCCCCGGCCCAAGUUUGCGCCGGUUUUAGGGUGAAACGGACAACGCGCGGACGGGCGGGACGCGCGCUUGUCCUCCCCUGGCCCGCCUGUUGAUGGGAGAAACUAAAACCCCCCACGCCCAUUUGGCGCCAUUUGCCCCAAACCCUCCCACGUCCCUCCCGCCGCCCCCUCUCUCCCCCGUCCAUGGCCGACGCCCCGCCGAGUUCCGGCGGCCUGGCCGUCGACCCGCCCGCAAAGGUGAAGAAGAAGGCGCCAAGAAAGCCGCGGUCGGAGUGCACGCCGGAAGAGAUCGCCAAGUUGGACGCAGAAUCGGAAAAGAGGAGGGAACGGAGAGCGGUCGUCAAGGUCAAUGCCGCCGCGGCCAAGUUCGCCGCCCAGCGCGAGGAGCUGGAUGCCGCGCGGCGCAAGGCCGCUGCCGACGAGAAGGAGGACCUCGUCAACAAAGCGCACGCCAUCCUAAUGCUUGGUAUGGGUCGUCCUGCCGGGUUCCCUGCAGCAGCCGUCGGCCCGGCGAGCACAUGCUCGUCGGUCGCCCGGCCUACGCACUGCCAGUCGCCGACGUCGCGCACCGCGCCCAUGUCGCUCGGCUUUCCUCCGCCAAGGCACGACGGCCAGACCCGUUUCUCGGGGUCGCCGGACGUGGGCUUGUUCGCUCAUCCACACCGCGCCCCGCGGCCGUCAUCGACCUCAACGUCACGCCUGGGUCCAGCAGCGGCGGCCGGCCGUCCGUCCAUAUGAGAAAGCAGGCACGGGCACCAUUCACGGGCACCAUGCCGCCCCCCGCGUCUUGUUUGACGGAAUGCCAACCCCAACGCCAGCGGUCGACGACCCCUUCUACAACCGCUACAUGGAGGACGUGAUCUUCGAGGGUGGGCAUGACCAUACCUACGACCCCGAUGAGACCCAAAGUCAGGAUGGCCGCGCCGAGUACGUCCCCGAUGAAGAGGCCGACGACCGUGCUGACUACGGCCAUGGUGACUCAUGGCAUGAAGAUGAUGACAUCUAUGUCGAAGGUGAUGAUGAAGAAGAAGAAAGCAAUGUCGUUGAUAUUAGUGGUGCGCCAUUGUUCAUCGACGAGCUCACCCAAAGAGCGGAGGCACAAAAGAAGAGGAAGAGCAUUCGCACGGGUUCAUAUACACAAGAUGAGGACAAGUUGAUUUGCGAAGCUUGGAUGGAGAUUAGCCAAGAUCCGAGGACCGGCGCGCAAUAAAAGGGCAUUGUUUUUUGGACGAGAGUCCACAAAACAUUCCAUGAAAGGAAGAUGUUUGAGCCCUACCAAAUUACAAGCAACCGUGGCAUCGACUCGAUUCAAAAAAGAUGGUUGUUCAUCCAACAAGAGUGCAACAAGUAUUGCACCGCAUUUGAGAGCGUUGAAGCACGGCCCGUGAGUGGUCUCGGCGUUGGGGACAUGGUAUGCUCUCCUCUUUCUAGCCCUUUCCUUGCUACGGCCAUGAGACUUUGGCCGUGUAUAUGUUUGCAUGUUCACUUGUUGUUGAUCAUGUGGUGUAGGCAUUUCAAUCUUUGGAGGCAUUCAAGGCCCGGCACAAUGACAAGCCAUUCACUCUUACGCAUUGUUGGACGAUCAUCAACAAUUGCCCUAAGUUCAAGGAUCAAUACCGUGAACUUCAAAGAAAGAGAGGCAAGAAGACGGCCAAGUUCGCCGGAGGUGGGGAUGGCGAGGCGUUGAAGAGGCCGAGGGGCAAGACCAACUCUAAGGUGGACGACAUACGUGACGCCUCAUCCAUGGCCUUGCAUGAGACUUUGCAUGGCAUGAUGUCCCAAAAGGAUGUGAGGGACGAGAAAAAGCGGCAAAGCAAGGACGAGAAAAUGAAGCAAUACCUAGACCUUCAAAGACAGAAGCUUGAGAUGGAGGAGGCGGCCAAUAGGAGGAAGAUCGACAUGGAGGAGGCGGCCCGGCAAAGGCAGCUCGACAUGGAGGAGGCGGCCCGGCAAAGGCAGCUCGACAUCGAGGCCGACAACGUCAAGGCCAGGCAGAGGCAGCUCGACAUCGAGGCCACCAAUGCCGCCACCAAAGCGAAGGAGGUGGCCCUUGCGAUCAUGAGCGUGGACUUGUCGAAGAUGAGCGACAAGACGAGGGCCUGGUUCGAGGCCAGGCAGAAGGAGAUGCUCGACGCCGAAGGCCUGAACUAGGUCGUCCGAUCGGCGUGGCCGUUCUUUUUGAGGAUGGCAAGGGUGCCGCCCGCCCGUCGGGCCGCUGGCAGUGUCCGGUGAGAAAACAUUCAUUUUGGAGGCCGGCUGUGUUGCCGGCCGCUGGCUGUGUUGCCAGCGAGGAGAACUAUUUAUUUUGGAGGCUGGCUAUGUUGCCGGCCGCUGGCUGAUGCCGGCGAUGGACGUGUAGGCCGCUGGCUCUGUUGCCGGCGUGAUGAACCGGGGCCGCUGGCCUGAACUAGGGCUUGGCAUUUGAAACGUUGCUUUUAGUUUUUUAAGUAGACGCAGACAGGAUGGGGCAAAUGGAUGCGGCCGCGCGCUGGGCGCACGGCCACCGGAUCCCAGGACACGCCCGGACACGACCCCAAAUCCCUACCCAAACGGACAGAAUCCGGACAAAACGGACGUCCGUUUGGGGUCGCGCGGUGGAGUUGGCCUUAACGCGAUCCUCUCCGCCUUCACGGUCUACUGGUUGUCCAUGUUCGAGCUACCGCCUUGGGCGCGUGCCAAGAUUGACAGGCUGCGUCGUGCCUGGCUCUGGAAGGGUGAGGAGUCCUGUCACGGCGGGCACUGCAAGGUCGCAUGGGGGAUUAUCUGUCGGCCGUGCCAGCUCGGUGGCCUCGGUGCGAUCGACCUGGUGCGUUUUGGUGCCGCCAUGCGCCUACGUUGGUUGUGGCAGGAGCGUGUCUCCCUGACCAAGCCCUGGAUCAGCCUCCCGAUGCCUUGCACGAUCGUUGACAGAGCCAUCUUUGCAGCAGCAACAUGUGUGACCAUCAGUUGUGGGGAGUGUGCUCGCUUCUGGUAUGAUAGCUGGCUCGACGGUUGCGCGCCAUUCACCAUGGCGCCCGAACUCUUCGCAGUCUCCAGGCGCAAGAAUCGUUCGGUCCGAGAGGCAUUGCAUGGCAGGCGAUGGGUGUCCGAUCUUCAGGGAUGGAUCACUGCGCACACCCUGCCUGCAUUCGUAAGCCUAUGGUCCGCGAUCAGCCAGGUAGCGGCCUGAUGAGUGUGAUGCUUUCUCAUGGAAGCCCAACGAGAGUGGCUCCUUCACGGUGACGUCUGCUUACAUGACUCAGUUUCUUGGAUCUACAGUCUCACCGCUAUGGGCCUCGGUUUGGCAGGCUUGGGCACCGGUGAAAUGCCGCCUUUUCGCCUGGUUCUUUGGCCAGAAUAGGAUCCUUACUGUUGACUGCUUGCUUGCCAGGCAGUGGCCGAACUCCUACUUCUGCCUGCUCUGUCGCCGAAACUUGGAGACCGUCGAGCAUCUCCUGAUCACCUGCCCCUGGUCGCAGCAACUCUGGGCGUGAGUUGCCGAUCGCUUCCGCUUGCCUGGAUUUCUUCCUGCUUCUUGGCCUCGUUGGACGUCUCUCCACGAGUGGCUCUCUAAUCUCUCGGCAGAUGCGUCCUUGGCCAAACGCAACAAGUCGAUGGCGCUGAUGGUCCUUUGGUUCAUCUGUAGGGAACGAAAUGGCCGUAUCUUCAGGAACAGCGAGCACCCGGUCUCCCAGGUGCUGGAUCAGCUGCUCGAUGAAGCUAGGCAAUGGGCGCUCGCCGGAGGCCGGCAUCUGUGCUGGGAGUAGUCGCUUAACGUUUCUUUUUUUUUUGUCUCUUCUUUCUUUGCCGCUGCUCUUGUGGCCGGCUCUUUGUACAGUUGGCUCCAGCCGUUCUUCCGCUUAAUGAAAUCACAACUCUCCUGCGCUCUUUCAAAAAACAAAAACAGUACUAUUAAUUGUAACAAAAAAAAAUUCCAAACACAUACUCAUCGGUCGGUUUGGUCGAUCCGUGGUCGGCUCAAUGACACCGUGAACCGACCGAUGAACAAAGUCGCAAGUGAUCUUGGGUCCGUAUGGUGGGCGCCAGGGCGGUCCAACACCGUGGACUAACCGAUGGACGGGCCACGAGCACGCACACACGACGGCAUCGGGCGUCGUCGACCGUAACCGUGUACCGCCUCGAUCGAUCCCUGGGCUGCUGCACGAUGAUGUGCGUCGCGUCGCGGCAGACCGUGCAUGGUCCGUGCCUGCCUACCUUACUUUGACACGGUGCGACCGAGCCGAUGUCCCGUGCGUGAGUGAUCGAUGGCCCUGAUCGACGACGCAUGGAUGACCCGGAACCACCCCCCGCCUUCCCCUCCAGCGCGUGUCUGGCCGGCAUCGAGACCGACCGACCGGUCAGGCAGCGAGUUGGCGUUGGCCGGCCACGAGCACGACGCUAUCGGCCGAGUGUGCUCGAUCCAACCGUGUACCCCCGUGCUCCGCACCGAUGCGCACGUCUCGUGUUCCGUCCUUUGCACGGAACCAGCGAGCGAGCCUCCCAUCCCGUCCCCUUUCCCUCCCCUCCCCUCCCCAAAAUAAGUAGUACGCCGCCCUCUCCUUCCCCAAUUUCCAAAUUCAAAAUCGAAAUCGCCCACCUCUCCGCCCCGCCCUCCCCGAGCACCAGAACCUCCACCGGCCACCCCAGAGCUCGCCGUCUCCCAUGGCGGCCCCGGCCCCCCUCGCCGUUGAUUCCCUUGGCGCGGCUAUCGAGGCGUUCAUGAACGCGCCCACCGCCCCGCCGCGUGGUGGUCAUCACCUCCGUCGAGGUCGCCCACUCCGCCGCCCUCCUCGCGUUCCUCGAGUUGCAGGCGGACCGCGACCUCUGGGAGAUCGAGAAUGGCGGCCGCCUCAACGAGCUCGCCUCGAUCGACCGCAUGUUCCACGCCAUCGUCGUCGAUGUGCUCCCGGUACUCGUCGCCGACCCUGUCGCUGCUGUCCCGCUACGCCGUCUUCAUCCAGGCCUCCGCCCCCGCCGUCGGCGGCGACUUCGAGCACAGCGCCACGCUCAUCUGCCAGGACAUGAUCGCGUACGCCGACAACACCCGCCGACACCCCCCGCGACUCUCCGCCGCCGACCUGCUCCGCCGCCUGAAGAUGUUCCGCUUGGAGACAGUCACCAUCGCCGACCACGGCAUCAACGACGACAGCCACGUGUUGGCGUGGAUGAUGGGCCUCGACCACAUCCACGUGAACUCCUUCCGCCGCCUCGCGAGCCUUAGGGAGGAGGUCUUCGACGGCCCCCCCGCCGAGUACCGAGUCACCAUCGACGCCCUCCCCGCCUCCCACUCCUCCGCCCUCCUCGGCGUGGUGUACUUCGAGGGCGGCGCCAGCGACUGGAUCGUUCGCAACGCCGCCCGCCUCACUGCCCUGGCGAACGUCGACGUCUCCUUCCAGCUCAUCGGCCUCGGCCUCCUCCCCUUCCUCCACGACAACCCCACCAGCCAGCCAGCGCUUCGGUUCCUCGUCGACUACGUCCGCGACGUCAGGGAGAAGGUCGGAGCCAUGGGCGGCGAGUUCGUCACGCACGCCACUGACAUGUGUGACAACCUCAUUGCGAACGGCACGCGCCCCCUCCCGCCCCCGGAGAUGAGGAUGGUUACGGAGCAGCUGCGCCGGGAUCUCGAUGUCUUCAGAUCCCGCGACCUGUCCAUCCACGAGUCCGACUCCACCGGCGAGCCCACCUCAGGUUCGUCUGACGCCUCGGACUCCACCGGCGAGCCCGCCUCAGGUUCGUCUGACGCCUCGGACUCCACCGGCGAGCCCACCUCAGGUUCGUCUGACGCCUCGGACUCCACCGGCGAGCCCACCUCAGGUUCGUCUGACGCCUCGGACUCCACCGGCGAGCCCACCUCAGGUUCGUCUGACGCCUCGGACUCCACCGGCGAGCCCACCUCAGGUUCGUCUGAUGCCUCGGACUCCACCGGCGAGCCCACCUCAGGUUCGUCUUAGGCACAGAUAUAUGGUGUUUGCCUGCGUUCCUUAUGAGAGGGAGAAUUCUGGCUUAACGAGUUGCUGCUAAGACUUGGCCAUAGUGAGUUUUGGAUGGCGAGACUACUGAUGAUAUGUACCUGGAUUAUAUUGCCUGUUAAUCAAUACUCUUAAUAUGUACUUCGCCAUAGAGUACUGAUGAUAUAGUUCGUGAUUGUUUGUGUUGAUUGUUUAUCCUUGUAGGAUGUGCAAUUGCUUCUCUGAAAGCUAUAUUUUACUAGAACAGUAGUUCCUUCUGAUAUGCUCUGUACAUAUUGCAUUGUUGCUCAUCAGUCUUUUGUCCAUUUAAUUGUUGCUCUUUAAAACUUACAGUAGCACCAUUUCCAUUUGAAUGGAAUGAUUCCAAAAUGCAAUUGACUAUUUUCAAGGAACUAUAUUCACUACCUGUGAGUUUGAAAAAUAAAAAUGCGGUAUGUAUACUCUGUCAGAAAUGUGAAAGACUCUGCAUAAUACAACUUGUCCUAGUUUAUAUCAUUAUAUAUGCUAUAAUAAUUCCAUCAUCUGAAAUAAUAAAAUUGGAAAGAUUCAGAUCUGAGAAUAAUUGUUUAUUUUGGAUGAUCAUAGGAUUCAAUACUAUAUUAAGCUUGAUGGCCAUUAUUUCUCAUGGUUACCAUAUCAAUUCGACCUUGGAACUGUCCUCCUGCAUGUUUGAGGUUAAGAGUGGACACUGAUGAUAUGUACACGAAUUAUAUUGCCUGUUAAUCAAUACUCUGAUGGUAGCAUCAUGUCCGUGACUAGUGCAUUGAAUUUUGCUUUGAACUUGUUAUUUGUCAGCUUGUAUUCCUUAAUUAGAGCACACCAUCUUUCUCCAAAUUCUGAUGGUAGCAUCAUGUCCGUGACUAGUGCAUUGAAUUUUGCUUUGAACCCAUAGUGCUUGGAAUAUUAAUUCCAAUUUUCGAUUUUGCAUUCCUUAGAACAUGCCAUUGGCACCAUCUAUGAUUAGAGUGCGGCCAAGUUGUUUUCAGAGCUGCUUCCAUUGCUGAUGCUUGAUCUGGAACAUGAGAACAUCAAAACCCUAUUAGAUAGGUCAACAUUUCCGGGAAUGAUAAGUAUGUGUAGUGAUAACUGAUUUGGUCACAGCAAAAAUAACAGACUAACCAGUUAAUAUUAUUGAUAGCUUCACAUUCCCCAUAACUCUAGCAAAAGUGGAGAAAACCCAUUCAAAUGCUUCUGUAGUUUCAGCUGUCAUUAGAACACCAGCAAAUACAACUGUCUGGAAGUGGUUGUUGGCUCCAACAAAUAAGCCAAACGGCAUCUUAUAAAGAUUUGUUCGAUAUGUCAUGUCAAAUGUUACCACAUCGCCGAAAUGUGAAUAGUCAACUUUGUUCUUGCCUGAGCACCACAACAUAUUCGUUAUUGUUCCUUCACUAUCAACAUCCAAAGCAACAAAAAAUGUAGGGGCUGUCAUUUUGAGUUGUUCUAAAACUGCAACUGUUUUGCCAAUGUCAUCUUUCAAUUUCUCCUGGGCAAGUCGUGAACAGAGGUUCCCACAUGCUCAUAGUUGUAAUCUCUUGAUGCAAAAUCUGCUAGAGAUCGAAGGCUGUAUCCCUCACCCACCUACACAGCUAGGUGGACUGGCAGUCCAGACUCACCAUGACGGCGCUGGUUUCUCUGCAUCCAGAGUGACCACAUCCCAUGUAUGAUCACCGCCCUGUCCUUCCUAGAACACACCCUGUCAUCAAGCAAAUCACUAGCCCAUGAAGUCGGAUGAAAGACAGGCAAUUUAACCCCUGUGAUCUUUUUAGCUUGUUCUCAGAAAAUCCUUGCUAUGGUGCAUUCUGUCAACACAUGUCGCACCGAUACCUCCUCUGAACCACAUGUUUCACAAUGAGCAGUAGGUUCCAAGUGUCUCCGAUGGAGCUCCUGCUUUGCCGGUGAAAAAUCAUGCAUAACACGCCACCAAAACACCCUGACUUUGGGAUUUCCAUAUCAGCUUCCAUGGCCCCUCCAUCGAUGAACCCGGAUUAUCAUAGCCUCCUACCGCUUGGUUUUGCACAUCUUCUUGCAGUUGAUAUGCCGAUCUGACAGAAUAAAUACCAUGCUUCUCUUUCUCCCAUGCCCAAAUGUCCUCUCCUCUAGACACCAUUGGCAGCUUGAGGAUUGCAACAACAUCAACAGGGAAAAAGAUAUCUCUGACAAGCCCCUCAUUCCACGCUCCACUCUCAGUGGUGACAUCAGAAACUGUCACGACGAUCUGUGAUGGACAGAGGAGGAGAUGUGAUGUAGACAGUGGCAAUUUUGCAUUGUGAUGGGCCGUGGGCCCCAGGGGGUCAGCUGAUGGCCAACAAAGCACACGCCAGGGUCAUGAUCAUGGCCAGGGUACCUGCUAGCCAAAAUGUGUGGUGGUUUUAGCAGCUUAAGCACUCUUUGGUUUGGGGCUAGCUAAUUUUGUCACUCACACCCAAUUCAUGUGGAGGCCCUUGCCCCACCUAUCCACAUUAGUGUUGAAAAAGAUGGGAGAUUAAGCUGAUGCUGUUCUUUGUAAUUGGUUGCUUCCUCUUGUGGGGUUGCUUCCACUCGCCAGGAUUUUCUGGGGCCUAGAUGACAUCCUCCCUACCCCUGUAGUCAAGCUAGCUCCCAACCUGUGUGGCAUGCGGUGCUUCGUCCUAAAAGCAAAGCAAUAGAAACACGACAGGUAACAAUCAGUAUAAUGAGCAAUUGAGGAUUGGGGAUCGUUUUAUAAUUUUGCCUCAUAAACAUGUUUAAUCCUAGGCUGUUAUCAUGUCGGAAAUCUGUCUAAAACAUAUGGUUUAAGUGAACCACCGAAACCAUACAAGUCAUGUCAAUCCAAAAAUCGUAGAAAGGCUUUUUUGCUUUUCAUAUGGUCCAUGAUAGGAGUAUUUGCAACUGGAUGCAUGCGUACUUUCAACCUUUCAACAAAGUGGCGUUUGUUCAAAUUUCAAAAAGACAAAGCAUGACCACGUUGCAAAUCGUAUAAGCAAGUUAAUUUCAGUCAGAAUCUGAACGACAACGACUCCUCUUUUCAUAUUCGAGGGUUCAAUUCAGAUCGUGCUCAUUGCUUGCACGAACACACUUGUUCUACGCUGCCGAUAUAGACUCAUCUCGUGUCGCUUCAACGGGUAGUGACAAAACUGACAAUGUAAAUGUUGUCGAUCUCGUGGCUGUCAGUUUCAGUAUAAUGUCAAAAAUUGGAGCCCCUGAUCGUGCGACGGAUGUGCUACAAUAUGAGACAAUCGGACAAACACAAGGACUUCACUUUUUGGUCGUUUGAUUAAGUAUAGUUUAUACAAUUUUAGUGAUGGAUUAGUCCUUGGUUAAUGGUUCCCACGAUCGCAGUCAACAAUUUGGAAAGACCGAGACAAUCGGAUGGACUGGAACCACAAACAGACCACCCGACAGGAGGGUUGUUCCUCAACCACCUUCUUGCUGAAGCAGCUGAACCUCAUUUUCUCAUGCCAUUUUGCCAAGUCCCAAGUUUUUAUUUUUAUUUUUUUGGAUACUCUGAAAUUGUGUUAGACUUCGUAUUGUAGCCCUACUGUGUAAACCAUACCUUAUUGGUAUUGGACUUGUAUGUCAUCAUUAUAUAUAUAUAUGUGUGUGUGUGUGUGUGUGUGUGUGUGUGUGUGAUAGGCCACCCCUUUGAGGGUUGAACCAGUUCCCCCAAAACCUACGUUUUACAUGGUAUCGAGUCUAACCUAGGUCCUCCACCCUACCCGCCGCCGCCGACGACGCCAUGACCGCUUCCGCUUCGGGUGCCGCCAUCUCCGGGUCCAUCCCCGCGUCGCUUGCCGCCCUCCUCAACCUCCCACCUCGCCUCUUGGCUCCAUCGGUGCCCCAAUUCUUCGGCACCACCGCUGUGGGCUCCAUGUUCUCAGCUCCAAUCCAGCCGCCGUCGCCUGCAACCUCCGCCGCCACGACGGUGAUCCUCCCCGCGGCGCCACCCGCGGCCUCUUCCUCAUCACUUGCCGUCCUCCCGGCGGCCUCGGGGGAGGUUCCGCCCGCGGUGCCACCCGCGGCCACGCUCGCGACCCUGCCUGCGGCCGCGAUCCCUGAAGGAAAUAUGCCCUAGAGGCAAUAAUAAAGUUAUUAUUUAUUUCCUCAUAUCAUGAUAAAUGUUUAUUAUUCAUGCUAGCAUUGUAUUAACCGGAAACAUAAUACAUGUGUGAAUACAUAGACAAACUUAAUGUCACUAGUAUGCCUCUACCUGACUAGCUCAUUAAUCAAUGAUGGUUAUGUUUCCUAACCAUAGACAUGUGUUGUCAUUUGAUUAACGGGAUCACAUCAUUAGGAGAAUGAUGUGAUUGACAUGACCCAUUUCGUUAGCUUAGCACUUGAUCGUUUAGUAUGUUGCUAUUGCUUUCUUCAUGACUUAUACAUGUUCCUACAACUAUGAGAUUAUGCAACUCCCGUUUACCGGAGGAACACUUUGUGUGCUACCAAACGUCACAAUGUAACUGGGUGAUUAUAAAGGAGCUCUACAGGUGUCUCCAAUGGUACAUGUGGGUUGGCGUAUUUCGAGAUUAGGAUUUGUCACUCUGAUUGUCGGAGAGGUAUCUCUGGGCCCUCUCGGUAAUGCACAUCACUAUAAGCCUUGCAAGCAAUGUAGCUAAUGAGUUAGUUACGGAAUGACGCAUUACGUAACGAGUAAAGAGACUUGCCGGUAACGAGAUUGAACUAGGUAUUGAGAUACCGAUGAUCGAAUCUCGGGCAAGUAACAUACCGGUGACAAAGGGAACAACGUAUGUUGUUAUGCGGUUUGACCGAUAAAGAUCUUCGUAGAAUAUGUAGGAGCCAAUAUGAGCAUCUAGGUUCCGCUAUUGGUUAUUGACCGGAAACAGUUCUAGGUCAUGUCUACAUAGUUCUCGAACCCGUAGGGUCCGCACGCUUAACGUUUCGUUGACGAUAUAGUAUUAUAUGAGUUAUGUAUGUUGGUAACCGAAUGUCGUUCGGAGUCCCGGAUGAGAUCAUGGACAUGACGAGGAACUCCGGAAUGGUCCGGAGAUAAAGUUUGAUAUAUGGGAUAAUAGUGUUUGAUCUCCGGAAGGGUUCCAGAAUUCACCGGAAGGGGUUCUGGAUGUUUCCCGAAAUGUUUGGGUACGAGAACACGUUAUUUGGGCCAAAGGGGAAAGCCCACAAGGUUUUUGGAAAGCGCAAAAGGAAGUUUUGCGGAGUCCAGGGGCCAGACGCCAGGGUCCCUGGUGUCUAGGUCCAGACGCCGAGAACCUUGGCGUCUGGCCCUGGAGUCCGAGAAGGACUCUUGCCUUUCGGGUGAAACCGACUUUGUGGAGGCUUUUACUCCAAGUUUCAACCCCAAGGCUCAACAUAUAAAUAGAGGGGCAGGGCUAGCACCAAAGACACAUCAAGAAACACCAAGCCGUGUGCCGGCAACCCCGUCCCCUCUAGUUUAUCCUCCGUCAUAGUUUCCGUAGUGCUUAGGCAAAGCCCUGCGGAGAUUGUUCUUCACCAACACCGUCACCACGCCGUCGUGCUGCCGGAACUCAUCUACUACUUCGCCCGUCUUGCUAGAUCGAGAAGGCGAGGACGUCAUCGAGAUGAACGUGUGCAGAACUCGGAGGUGCCGUGCAUUCGGUACUUGGAUCGGUUGGAUCGUGAAGACGUACGACUACAUCAACCGCGUUGAUAAACGCUUCCGCUUAGCGAUCUUCAAGGGUAUGAAGAUACACUCCCCCUCUCGUUGCUAUGCAUCACCAUGAUCUUGUGUGUGUAGGAUUUUUUUUGAAAUUACUACGUUCCCCAACAGUGGUAUCAGAGCCUAGGUUUUAUGCGUUGAUGUUAUAUGCACGAGUAGAACACAAGUGAGUUGUGGACGAUACAAGUCAUACUGCUUACCAGCAUGUCAUACUUUGGUUCAGUGGUAUUGUUGGAUGAAGCGGCCCGGACCGACAUUACACGUACGCUUACGCGAGACUGGUUUUACCGUCGUGCUUUGCACACAGGUGACUAGCGGGUGUCUGUUUCUCCAACUUUAGUUGAACCGAGUGUGGCUACGCCCGGUCCUUGCGAAGGUUAAAACAACACUAACUUGACGAAAUAUCGUUGUGGUUUUGAUGCGUAGGUAAGAACGGUUCUUGCUCAGCCCGUAGCAGCCAUGUAAAAUUUGUAACAACAAAGUAGAGGACGUCUAACUUGUUUUUGCAGGGCAUGUUGUGAUGUGAUAUGGUCAAGACGUGAUGCUAUAUUUUAUUGUAUGAGAUGAUCAUGUUUUGUAACCGAAGUUAUCGGCAACUGGCUGGAGCCAUAUGGUUGUCGCUUUAUUGUAUCAAAUGCAAAUGCCCUGUAAUUGCUUUACUUUCACUAAGCGGUAGCGAUAGUCGUAGAAGCAAUAGAUGGCGUAAACGACAACGAUGCUACGAUGGAGAUCAAGGUGUCGCGCCGGUGACGAUGGUGAUCACGACGGUGCUUCGGAGAUGGAGAUCACAAGCACAAGAUGAUGAUGGCCAUAUCAUAUCACUUAUAUUGAUUGCAUGUGAUGUUUAUCCUUUAUGCAUCUUAUCUUGCUUUGAUUGACGGUAGCAUUUUAAGAUGAUCUCUCACUAAAAUUAUCAAGAAGUGUUCUCCUUGAAUAUGCACCGUUGCCAAAGUUCAUCGUGCCCAGACACCACGUGAUGAUCAGGUGUGAUAAGCUCUACGUCCAUCUACAACGGGUGCAACCCAGUUUUGCACAUGCAGAAUAUUCAAGUUAUACUUGACGAGCCUAGCAUAUACAGAUAUGGCCUCGGAACACGGAGACCGAAAGGUCGAACGUGAAUCAUAUAGUAGAUAUGAUCAACAUAGAGAUGUUCACCAUUGAAACUACUCCAUCUCAUGUGAUGAUCGAACAUGGUUUAGUUGAUUUGGAUCACGUGAUCACUUAGAUGACUAGAGAGAUGUCUGUCUAAGUGGGAGUUCUUAAGUAAUAUGAUUAAUUGAACUUAAAUUUAUCAUGAACUUAGUACCUGAUAGUAUUUUGCUUGUCUAUGUUUGUUGUAGAUAGAUGGCUCGUGCUGUUGUUCCGUUGAAUUUUAAUGCGUUCCUUGAGAAAGCUAAGUUGAAAGAUGAUUACACGGACUGGGUCCGUAACCUGAGGAUUAUCCUCAUUGCUGCACAGAAGAAUUAUAUCCUGGAAGCACCGCUGGGUGCCAGGCCUGCUGCUGAUGCAACUGACGAUGUUAAGAACGUAUGGCAGAGCAAAGCUGAUGACUACUUGAUAGUUCAAUGUGCCAUGCUUUACGGCUUGGAACCGGGUCUUCAAUGACAUUUUGAAUGUCAUGGAGCUUAUGAGAUGUUCCAGGAGUUGAAGUUAAUAUUUCAAGCAAAUGCCCAGAUUGAGAGAUAUGAAGUCUACAUAGUUCUCGAACCCGUAGGGUCUGCACGCUUAAUGUUUCGUUGACGAUAUAGUAUUAUAUGAGUUAUGUAUGUUGGUAACCGAAUGUUGUUCGGAGUCCCGGAUGAGAUCAUGGACAUGACGAGGAACUCCGGAAUGGUUCGGAGAUAAAGUUUGAUAUAUAGGAUAAUAGUGUUUGAUCUCUGGAAGGGUUCCGGAAUUCACCGGAAGGGGUUCCGGAUGUUUCCCGAAAUGUUUGGGUACGAGAACACGUUAUUUGGGCCAAAGGAGCCAACAAGGUUUUUGAAAAGCACAAAAGGAAGUUUUGCGGAGUCUAGGGGCCAGACGCCAGGGUCCCUGGCGUCUGGUGAAGGAAAUAUGCCCUAGAGGCAAUAAUAAAGUUAUUAUUUAUUUCCUCAUAUCAUGAUAAAUGUUUAUUAUUCAUGCUAGAAUUGUAUUAACCGGAAACAUGAUACAUGUGUGAGUACAUAGACAAACAUAGUGUCACUAGUAUGCCUCUACUUGACUAGCUCAUUAAUCAAAGAUGGUUAUGUUUCCUAAUCAUAGACAUGUGUUGUCAUUUGAUUAAUGGGAUCACAUCAUUAGGAGAAUGUUGUGAUUGACUGACCCAUUCCGUUAGCUUAGCACUUGAUCGUUUAGUAUGUUGCUAUUGCUUUCUUCAUGACUUAUACAAAGUUCCUACAACUAUGAGAUUGUGCAACUCCCGUUUACCGGAGGAACACUUUGUGUGCUACCAAACAUCACAACGUAAUUGGGUGAUUAUAAAGGUGCUCUACAGGUGUCUCCAAAGGUACAUGUUGAGUUGGCAUAAUUCGAGAUUAGGUUUUGUCACUCCGAUUGUCAGAGAGGUAUCUCUGGGCCAUCUCGGUAAUACUCAUCACUUAAGCCUUGCAAGCAUUGUAACUAAUGAGUUAGUUAUGAAAUGAUGUAUUACGGAACGAGUAAAGAGACUUGCCGGUAACGAGAUUGAACUAGGUAUUGGAUAUCGACGAUCGAAUCUCGGACAAGUAACAUACCGAUGACAAAGGGAACAACGUAUGUUGUUAUGCGGUUUGACCGAUAAAGAUCUUCGUAGAAUAUGUAGGAACCAAUAUGAACAUCCAGGUUCCACUAUUGGUUAUUGACCGAGAAUAGUUCUAGGUCAUGUCUACAUAGUUCUCGAACCCGUAGGGUCCGCACGCUUAACGUUACGAUGGCCGUUUUAUUACGAGUUUAUAAGUUUUGAUGUACCGAAGUUUGUUCGGAGUCCCGGAUGUGAUCACAGACAUGACGAGGAGUCUCGAAAUGGUCGAGACAUAAAGAUUGAUAUAUUGGACGACUAUAUUCGGACACCGGAAGUGUUCCGGGUGAUUUCGGAGAAAACCGGAGUGCCGGAGGGUUACCGGAACCCCCCCGGGAGAGUUAAUGGGCCACAUGGGCCUUGGUGGAAAGAGAGAGGGGUGGCCAGGAUGGGCCGCGCACCCCCUCUCCCUCUGGUCCGAAUUGGACUAGGAGGGGGGCGGCGCCCCCCUCUUUCCUUCCCCCCUCUCCCCCUUCCUUCCCCCUCCUAGUAGGAGUAGGAAAGGGGGAGUCCUACUCCUACUAGGAGGAGGACUCCUCCUCCUUGGCGCGCCCCAAGGGGCCGGCCGGCCUCCCCCCUUGCUCCUUUAUAUACGGGGGCAGGGGGCACCCUAGGACACACAAGUUGAUCUACGGAUCGUUCCUUAGCCGUGUGCGGUGCCCCCCUCCACCAUAUUCCACCUCGGUCAUAUCGUCCCGGAGUUUAGGCGAAGCCCUGCGCCGGUAGAACAUCAUCAUCGUCACCACGCCGUCGUGCUGACGGAACUCAUCCCCGACGCUUUGCUGGAUUGGAGCCCGGGGAACGUCAUCGAGCUGAACGUGUGCUGAACACGGAGGUGCCGUACGUUCGGUGCUUGGAUCUGUCGAGUCGUGAAGACGUACGACUACAUCAACCGCGUUGUCAUAACGCUUCCGCUUACGGUCUACGAGGGUACGUGGACAAUACUCUCCUCUCUCGUUGCUAUGCCAUCACCAUGAUCUUGCAUGUGCAUAGGAAUUUUUUUGAAAUUACUACGUUACCCAACAGUGGCAUCCGAGCCUAGGUUUUAUGCGUUGAUGUUAUAUGCACGAGUAGAACACAAAUGAGUUGUGGGUGAUACAAGUCAUACUGCUUACCAGCAUGUCAUACUUUGGUUAGGCAGUAUUGUUGGAUGAAGCGGCCCGGACCAACAUUACGCGUACGCUUACGCGAGACUGGUUCUACCGACGUGCUUUGCACACAGGUGGCUGGCGGGUGUCAGUUUCUCCAACUUUAGUUGAACCGAGUGUGGCUACGCCCGGUCCUUGUGAAGGUUAAAACAACACUAACUUGACGAACUAUCGCUGUGGUUUUGAUGCGUAGGUAAGAACGGUUCUUGCUAAGUCCGUAGCAGCCACGUAAAACUUGCAACAACAAAGUAGAGGACGUCUAACUUGUUUUUGCAGGGCAUGUUGUGAUGUGAUAUGGUCAAAGACGUGAUGCUAUAUUUAUUGUAUGAGAUGAUCAUGUUUUAUAACCGAAGUUAUCGGCAACUGGCAGGAGCCAUAUGGUUGUCGCUUUAUUGUAUGAAAUGCAAACGCCCUGUAAUUGCUUUACUUUAUCACUAAGCGGUAGUGAUAGUCGUAGAAGCAAUAGAUGGCGUAAACGACAACGAUGCUACGAUGGAGAUCAAGGUGUCGCACCGGUGACGAUGGUGAUCACGACGGUGCUUCGGAGAUGGAGAUCACAAGCACAAGAUGAUGAUGGCCAUAUCAUAUCACUUAUAUUGAUUGCAUGUGAUGUUUAUCCUUUAUGCAUCUUAUCUUGCUUUGAUUGACGGUAGCAUUUUAAGAUGAUCUCUCACUAAAAUUAUCAAGAAGUGUUCUCCUUGAAUAUGCACCGUUGCCAAAGUUCAUCGUGCCCAGACACCACGUGAUGAUCAGGUGUGAUAAGCUCUACGUCCAUCUACAACGGGUGCAACCCAGUUUUGCACAUGCAGAAUAUUCAAGUUAUACUUGACGAGCCUAGCAUAUACAGAUAUGGCCUCGGAACACAGAGACCGAAAGGUCGAACAUGAAUCAUAUAGUAGAUAUGAUCAACAUAGUGAUGUUCACCAUUGAAAACUACUCCAUCUCACGUGAUGAUCGGUUAUGGUUUAGUUGAUUUGGAUCACGUAAUCACUUAGAUGACUAGAGAGAUAUCUGUCUAAGUGGGAGUUCUUAAGUAAUAUGAUUAAUUGAACUUAAAUUUAUCAUGAACUUAGUACCUGAUAGUAUUUUGCUUGUCUAUGUUUGUUUGUAGAUAGAUGGCUCGUGUUGUUGUUCCGUUGAAUUUUAAUGCGUUCCUUGAGAAAGCAAAGUUGAAAGAAGAUGGUAGCAAUUACACGGACUGGGUCCGUAACUUGAGGAUUAUCCUCAUUGCUGCAUAGAAGAAUUACGUCCUGGAAGCACCACUGGGUGCCAGGCCUGCUGCAGGAGCAACACCAGAUGUUGUGAACGUCUGGCAGAGCAAAGCUGAUGACUACUCUAUAGUUCAGUGUGCCAUGCUUUACGGCUUAGAACCGGGUCUUCAACGACGUUUUGAACGUCAUGGAGCAUAUGAGAUGUUCCAGAAGUUGAAGUUAAUAUUUCAAGCAAAUGCCCAGAUUGAGAGAUAUGAAGUCUCCAAUAAGUUCUACAGCUGCAAGAUGGAGGAGAAUAGUUCUGUUAGUGAGCAUAUAGUCAAAAUGUCUGGGUAUAAUAAUCACUUGAUUCAACUGGGAGUUAAUCUUCCGGAUGAUAGCGUCAUUGACAGAAUUCUCCAAUCACUGCCACCAAGCUACAAGAGCUUCAUGAUGAACUAUAAUAUGCAAGGGAUGAACAAGACAAUUCCCGAGCUCUUCGCAAUGCUAAAGGCUGCGGAGGUAGAAAUCAAGAAGGAGCAUCAAGUGUUGAUGGUCAACAAGACCACUAGUUUCAAGAAAAAGGGCAAAGGGAAGAAGAAGGGGAACUUCAAGAAGAACAGCAAGCAAGUUGCUGCUCAAGAGAAGAAACCCAAGUCUGGACCUAAGCCUGAAACUGAGUGCUUCUACUGCAAGCAAACUGGUAACUGGAAGCGGAACUGCCCCAAGUAUUUGGCGGAUAAGAAGGAUGGCAAAGUGAACAAAGGUAUAUGUGAUAUACAUGUUAUUGAUGUGUACCUAACUAGAGCUCGUAGUAGCACCUGGGUAUUUGAUACUGGUUCUGUUGCUAAUAUUUGCAACUCGAAACAGGGACUACGGAAUAAGCGAGCACUGGCCAAGGACGAGGUGACGAUGCGCGUGGGAAACGGUUCCGAAGUCGAUGUGAUCGCGGUCGGCACGCGACCUCUACAUCUACCUUCGGGAUUAGUCUUAGACAUAAAUAAUUGUUAUUUGGUGCCAGCGUUGAGCAUGAACAUUAUAUCUGGAUCUUGUUUGAUGCGAGACGGUUCUUCAUUUAAAUCAGAGAAUAAUGGUUGUUCUAUUUAUAUGAGUAAUAUCUUUUAUGGUCAUGCACCCUUGAAGAGUGGUCUAUUUUUAUUAAAUCUCGAUAGUAGUGAUACACAUAUUCAUAAUGUCCAAACCAAAAGAUGCAGAGUUGAUAAUGAUAGUGCAACUUAUUUGUGGCACUGCCGUUUAGGUCAUAUCGGUGUAAAGCGCAUGAAGAAACUCCAUACUGAUGGACUUUUGGAAUCACUUGAUUAUGAAUCACUUGGUACUUGCGAACCGUGCCUCAUGGGCAAGAUGACUAAAACACCGUUCUCCGGUACUAUGGAGAGAGCAACAAAUUUGUUGGAAAUCAUACAUACAGAUGUAUGUGGACCGAUGAAUAUUGAAGCUCGUGGCGGAUAUCGUUAUUUUCUCACCUUCAUAGAUGAUUUGAGCAUAUAUGGGUAUAUCUACUUAAUGAAACACAAGUCUGAAACAUUUGAAAAGUUCAAAGAAUUUCAGAGUGAAGUGGAAAAUCAUUGUAACAAGAAAAUUAAGUUUCUACGAUCUGAUCGUGGAGGAGAAUAUUUGAGUUACGAGUUUGGUUUACAUGUGAAACAAUGCGGAAUAGUUUCGCAACUCACGCCACCCGGAACACCACAACGUAAUGGUGUGUCUGAACGUCGUAAUCGUACUUUACUAGAUAUGGUGCAAUCUAUGAUGUCUCUUACUGAUUUACCGCUAUCGUUUUGGGGUUAUGCUUUAGAGACGGCUGCAUUCACAUUGAAUGGGGCACCAUCAAAAUCCGUUGAGAUGACGCCUUAUGAACUAUGGUUUGGCAAGAAACCAAAGUUGUCGUUUCUUACAGUUUGGGGCUGCGAUGCUUAUGUGAAGAAACUUCAACCAGAUAAGCUCGAACCCAAAUCGGAGAAAUGUGUCUUCAUAGGAUACCCAAAAGAGACUGUUGGGUACACCUUCUAUCACAGAUCCGAAGGCAAGACAUUCGUUGCUAAGAAUGGAUCCUUUCUAGAAAAAGAGUUUCUCUCGAAAGAAGUGAGUGGGAGGAAAGUAGAACUUGAUGAGAUAACUAUGUCUGCUCCCUCAUUGGAAAGUAGUUCAUCACAGAAAUCAGUUCCUGUGACAUCUACACCAAUUAGUGAGGAAGAUAAUGAUAUUGAUCAUGAAACUUCAGAUCAAGUUUCUACCGAACCUCGUAGGUCUACCAGAAUAAAAUCUGCACCAGAGUGGUACGGUAAUCCUAUUCUGGAAGUCAUGUUACUUGACCAUGAUGAACCUACGAACUAUGAGGAAGCGAUGAUGAGCCCAGAUUCCGCAAAAUGGCUAGAAGCCAUGAAAUCUGAGAUGGGAUCCAUGUAUGAAAACAAAGUAUGGACUUUGGUUGACUUGCCCGAUGAUCGACAAGCCAUUGAGAAUAAAUGGAUCUUUAAGAAGAAGACUGACGCUGACGGUAAUGUAACUGUCUAUAAAACUCGACUUGUUGUGAAAGGUUUUCGACAAGUUCAAGGGGUUGACUACGAUGAGACUUUCUCACCCGUAGUGAUGCUUAAGUCUGUCCGAAUCAUGUUAGCGAUUGCCGCAUUUUAUGAUUAUGAAAUUUGGCAGAUGGAUGUAAAAACCGCAUUUCUGAAUGGAUUUCUGGAAGAAGAGUUGUAUAUGAUGCAACCGGAAGGUUUUGUCGAUCCUAAGGGAGCUAACAAAGUGUGCAAGCUCCAGCGAUCAAUCUAUGGUCUGGUGCAAGCCUCUCGGAGUUGGAAUAAACGCUUUGAUAGUGUGAUCAAGGCAUAUGGUUUUAUACAGACUUUUGGAGAAGCCUGUAUUGACAAGAAAGUGAGUGGGAGCUCUGUAGCAUUUCUAAUAUUAUAUGUGGAUGACAUAUUGUUGAUUGGGAAUGAUAUAGAAUUUCUGAAUGGCAUAAAAGGAUACUUGAAUAAAAGUUUUUCAAUGAAAGACCUCGGUGAAGCUGCUUACAUAUUGGGCAUUAAGAUCUAUAGAGAUAUAUCAAGACGCUUGAUUGGACUUUCACAAUGCACGUACCUUGAUAAAGUGUUGAAAAAGUUCAAUAUGGAUCAGGCGAAGAAAGGGUUCUUGCCUGUAUUACAAGGUAUAAAGUUGAGUCAGACUCAAUGCCCGACCACUGCAGAAGAUAGAGAGAAAAUGAAAGGAAUUCCCUAUGCUUCAGCCAUAGGCUCUAUCAUGUAUGCAAUGUUGUGUACCAGACCUGAUGUGUGCCUUGCUAUUAGUUUGGCAGGGAGGUACCAAAGUAAUCCAGGAGUGGGUCACUGGACGGCGGUCAAGAACAUCCUGAGAUACCUGAAAAGGACUAAGGAUAUGUUUCUCGUAUAUGGAGGUGACAAAGAGCUAGUCGUAAAUGGUUACGUCGAUGCAAGCUUUAACACUGAUCCGGACGAUUCUAAAUCGCAAACCGGAUACGUAUUUUUGUUAAAUGGUGGAGCUGUAAGUUGGUGCAGUUCUAAACAAAGCGUUGUGGCGGGAUCUACAUGUGAAGCGGAGUACAUAGCUGCUUCGGAAGCAGCAAAUGAAGGAGUCUGCAUGAAGGAGUUCAUUUCCGAUCUAGGUGUUAUACCUAGUGCAUCGGGACCAAUGAAGAUCUUCUGUGACAAUACUGGUGCAAUUGCCUUGGCAAAGGAAUCCAGAUUUCACAAGAGGACCAAGCACAUCAAGAGACGCUUCAAUUCCAUUCGGGACCAAGUCCAAGUGGGAGACAUAGAGAUUUGCAAAAUACAUACGGAUCUGAAUAUUGCAGACCCGUUGACUAAGCCUCUCUCACGAGCAAAACAUGAUCAGCACCAAGACUCCAUGGGUGUUAGAAUCAUUACUAUGUAAUCUAGAUUAUUAACUCUAGUGCAAGUGGGAGACUGAAGGAAAUAUUCCCUAGAGGCAAUAAUAAAGUUAUUAUUUAUUUCCUCAUAUCAUCAUAAAUGUUUAUUAUUCAUGCUAGAAUUGUAUUAACCAGAAAAAUGAUACAUGUGUGAAUACAUAGACAAACAUAGUGUCACUAGUAUCCCUCUACUUGACUAGCUCAUUAAUCAAAGAUGGUUAUGUUUCCUAAUCAUAGACAUGUGUUGUCAUUUGAUUAAUGGGAUCACAUCAUUAGGAUAAUGUUGUGAUUGACUUGACCCAUUCCGUUAGCUUAGCACUUGAUCGUUUAGUAUGUUGCUAUUGCUUUCUUCAUGACUUAUACAAAGUUCCUACAACUAUGAGAUUGUGCAACUCCCGUUUACCGGAGGAACACUUUGUGUGCUACCAAACGUCACAACAUAAUUGGGUGAUUAUAAAGGUGCUCUACAGGUGUCUCCAAAGGUACAUGUUGAGUUGGCAUAAUUCGAGAUUAGGUUUUGUCACUCCGAUUGUCGGAGAGGUAUCUCUAGGCCAUCUCGGUAAUACUCAUCACUUAAGCCUUGCAAGCAUUGUAACUAAUGAGUUAGUUAUGAAAUGAUGUAUUACGGAACGAGUAAAGAGACUUGCCGGUAACAAGAUUGAACUAGGUAUUGGAUAUCGACGAUCGAAUCUCGGACAAGUAACAUACCAAUGACAAAGGGAACAACAUAUGUUGUUAUGCGGUUUGACCGAUAAAGAUCUUCGUAGAAUAUGUAGGAACCAAUAUGAACAUCCAGGUUCCACUAUUGGUUAUUGACCGAGAAUAGUUCUAGGUCAUGUCUACAUAGUUCUCGAACCCGUAGGGUCCGCACGCUUAACGUUACGAUGACAGUUUUAUUAUGAGUUUAUAAGUUUUGAUGUACCGAAGUUUGUUCGGAGUCCCGGAUGUGAUCACGGACAUGACGAGGAGUCUCGAAAUGGUCGAGACAUAAAGAUUGAUAUAUUGGACAACUAUAUUCGGAAACCGGAAGUGUUCUGGGUGAUUUCGGAGAAAACUGGAGUGCCGGAGGGUUACCGGAACCCCUGCCGAGAGAGUUAAUGGGCCACAUGGGCCUUGGUGGGAAGAGAGAGGGGCGGACAGGAUGGGCCGCGCGCCCCCUCUCCCUCUGGUCCGAUUUGGACUAGGAGGGGGGCGGCGCCCCCCUCUUUCCUUCCCCCCUCUCCCCCUUCCUUCCCCCUCCUAGUAGGAGUAGGAAAGGGGGAGUCCUACUCCUACUAGGAGGAGGACUCCUCCUCCUUGGCGCGCCCCAAGGGGCCGGCCGGCCUCCCCCUUGCUCCUUUAUAUACGGGGGCAGGGGGGCACCCUAGGACACACAAGUUGAUCUACAGAUCGUUCCUUAGCCGUGUGCGGUGCCCCCCUCCACCAUAUUCCACCUCGGUCAUAUCGUCGCGGAGUUUAGGCGAAGCCCUGCGCCGGUAGAACAUCAUCAUCGUCACCACGCCGUCGUGCUGACGGAACUCAUCCCCGACGCUUUGCUGGAUUGGAGCCCGGGGAACGUCAUCGAGCUGAACGUGUGCUGAACACGGAGGUGCCGUAUGUUCGGUGCUUGGAUCGGUCGAGUCGUGAAGACGUACGACUACAUCAACCGCGUUGUCAUAACGCUUCCGCUUACGGUCUACGAGGGUACCUGGACAAUACUCUCCUCUCUCGUUGCUAUGCCAUCACCAUGAUCUUGCAUGUGCGUAGGAAAUUUUUUGAAAUUACUACGUUACCCAACAUCUGGGUCCAGACCCCGGGAACCCUGGCGUCUGGCCCUAGAGUCCGAGAAGGACUCUUGCCUUUCGGGUGAAACCGACUUUGUGGAGGCUUUUACUCCAAGUUUCGACCCCAAGGCUCAACAUAUAAAUAGAGGGGCAGGGCUAGCACCAAACACACAUCAAGAAACACCAAGCCGUGUGCCGGCAACCCCGUCCCCUCUAGUUUAUCCUCCGUCAUAGUUUCCAUAGUGCUUAGGCGAAGUCCUGCGGAGAUUGUUCUUCACCAACACUGUCACCACGCCGUCGUGCUGCCGGAACUCAUCUACUACUUCGCCCGUCUUGCUGGAUCGAGAAGGCGAGGACGUCAUCGAGUUGAACGUGUGCAGAACUCGGAGGUGCCGUGCGUUCGGUACUUGGAUCGGUUGGAUCGUGAAGACGUACGACUACAUCAAACGCGUUGAUAAACGCUUCCGCUUAGCGAUCUUCAAGGGUAUGAAGAUACACUCCCCCUCUCGUUGCUAUGCAUCACCAUGAUCUUGCGUGUGCGUAGGAAUUUUUUUGAAAUUACUACGUUCCCCAACAAUCCCGCCCCUGCCCGCGGCAUUGGUCGCGGCUGUGGAUCCUAUCGCGGCUCCGCCGCCAACCGUCCCUGCUACUGGCGCAAUCACGCCCACCGGGCCGUUCCACUUUGACAACUUGAUCGCCAUCCGACUCACGCCGGACAACUACUUGUUCUGGCGCGCCAAGGUCUUACCGCUGCUACGCAGCCGGUCUCUCCUAGGGUUUGUUGAUGGUUCACUACCGUGUCCUCCGCAGGUCAUCCCUACCGUCCACGGCCCGGCCAUCAACCCGGAACACCGUAUGUGGGUGCAGCAGGACCAGGCGAUCCUCUCUACCAACCAGGGUUCCCUUGGCGACGGGGUCGCUGGCCUUUGUCUCUUCGCCGCCACCUCCAUGGACGCUUGGACGACCCUGGAGCACGCCUUUGCCCAGGUCUCUACCUCCCGCUCGAUGGCCCUUCAUAGUGAGCUCGCCGACAUCAAGAAGCUGGACACUUCUGCCACGACCUACUACAACAAGAUGAAGGUGCUGCCGGACACGCUCACCUCUAGUGGUCGUCCGCUUAGCGACGAGGAGUUCGCCGGCUCCGUCAUCAAAGGCCUCGACGUUGACUAUGACAAUCUCGCCGAGGCCGUUCACAACACCAAGCCAGCGAUGCCUCCUCAUGCCUCCUCUUCAUCGAGCAACGCGUCGAGGCUCGUCGCUCCUUUGCCACCAUCACCGCCCAGCCGGCGGCCUUCUGGGCCUCUCGCGGCCAGCGCCCCCCUACCUCGUUACCUGGCAAGGCAGCCCCGCCCCCUGCAUCGACCCUGGGUGGGGGCCCUAACACUAGGGUGGUGUGCCAGCUAUGUGGUCGUGAACGCCAUGUCGCCUCCAAGUGUCACCGCCGCUUUCAGAGGAGCUUCCUUGGCAUCGGCAACGAUAGCAAGGGCAAUGAUAUGUAUCCAACGUAUCUAUAAUUUUUUAUUGUUUCAUGUUAUUAUAUUACCCGUUUUGGAUGUUUAUGGGCUUUACUUUACACAUUUAUAUCAUUUUUGGGACUAACCUACUAACCGGAGGCCCAGCCCGUAUUGCUUUUUUUGCCUAUUUCAGUAUUUCGAAGAAAAGGAAUAUCAAACGGAGUCCAAACGGAAUGAAACCUUCGGGAGCGUGAUUUUUGGAACGAACGUGAUCCAGAGGACUUGGAGUGCAAGUCAAGAAGCAGUCAAGGCGGCCACGAGGGUGGAGGGCGCGCCCACCCCUACUGGGCGCGCCCCCCUAUCUCGUGGGCCCCUCGGGCGUCCACCAACCUACUUCUUCCUCCUAUAUAUACCCACGUACCCCGAGAACAUCAAAGGAGACGACAAAAAACUAUUUCCACCACCAUAACCUUCUGCAUCCGCGAGAUCCCAUCUUGGAGCCUUCGCCGGCGCUCCGCCGGAGGGGGAAUCAAGCACGGAGGGCUUCUACAUCAACACCAUAGCCCCUCCGAUGAGUUGUGAGUAGUUUACCACAGACCUUCGGGUCCAUAGUUAUUAGCUAGAUGGCUUCUUCUCUCUUUUUGGAUCUCAAUACCAUGUUCUCCUCGAUCUUCUUGGAGAUCUAUUCGAUGUAACUCUUUUUGCGGUGUGUUUGUCGAGAUCCGAUGAAUUGUGAGUUUAUGAUCAAGUUUAUCUAUGAGAAAUAUUUGAAUCUCCUCUGAGUUCUUUUAUGUGUGAUUAAGUUAUCUUUGCAAGUCUCUUCGAAUUAUCAGUUUGGUUUAGCCUACUAGAUUGAUCUUUCUUGCAAUGGGAGAAGUGCUUAGCUUUGGGUUCAAUCUUGCGGUGUCCUUUCCCAGUGACAGCAGGGGCAGCAAGACACGUAUUGUAUUUUUUCCAUCGAGGAUAAAAAGAUGGGGUUUAUAUCAUAUUGCAUGAGUUUAUCCCUCUACACCAUGUCAUCUUUCUUAAUGCGUUACUCUGUUCUUUAUGAACUUAAUACUCUAGAUGCAUGCUGGAUAGCGGUCGAUGUGUGGAGUAAUAGUAGUAGAUGCAGGCAGGAGUCGGUCUACUUGUCACGAAUGUGAUGCCUAUAUACAUGAUCAUGCCUAGAUAAUCUCAUAAUUAUUCGCUUUUCUAUCAAUUGCUCGACAGUAAUUUGUUCACCCAUCGUAAUACUUAUGCUAUCUUGAGAGAAGCCACUAGUGAAACCUAUGCCCCACGGGUCUAUCUUUUAUCAUAUAAGCUUUCAAUCUACUUUUAUUUGCAUCUUUACUUUUCCUAUCUAUAUUAUAAAAUACCAAAAAUAUAUUUAUCUUAUCAUACUAUCUCUAUCAGAUCUCACUUUCGCAAGUGGUCGUGAAGGGAUUGACAACCCCUUUAUUGCGUUGGUUGCGAGUUCUUUGUUUGUUUGUGUAGGUGCGUGGGACUUUUGAGGAGCCUCCUACUGGAUUGAUACCUUGGUUCUCAAAAACUGAGGGAAAUACUUACGCUACUAUUGUUGCAUCACCCUUUCCUCUUCAAGGAAAACCAACGCAAGCUCAAGACGUAGCAAGAAGGAUUUCUGGCACCGUUGCCGGGGAGGUAUUCGCUCAAGUCAAGACAUACCAAGUACCCAUCACAAACUCAUCUCCCUCGUAUUUACAUUAUUUGCCAUUUGCCUCUCGUUUUCCUCUCCCCCACUUCACCCUUGCUGUUUUAUUCGCCCUCUCUUUCCCAAUCUCCUCUCUCUUUUGCUUUUCUUUUGUUUGCUCGUCGUUAUGGCUAGCUCGGUCUUUAUCCCUUCGUCUCCCGACUUUGAAGUUCUUCACUUCAAGCAAAGACAAGGGGAAAAUUUAAAAGAUGCUUCGUUUAGGAUGUUAGAAUCUUAUCGUAGUUGUGCUAUAGAAGGAGAUUUCAAGAUUUUAAUUCGCAAUUUUUAUGUUGGGUUAACCUUACCCCAUAAACAACUCCUUGAUUUUGCCGCACAAGGGGGUUUUAUUGAAGUUGAUCCUAGUUCCGCUUAUGAAAUUAUAGAGGGGAUAGUAGGAGUACUUCCCCUACAGAAAGGAUCACCCUUGUCUCAUGAAGGAACCCAAAUUCUAGAGAAAUUAUGUGAAUUGCAAAAAUUUGUUGAACCGCUUAAGAAUAUUGGUGGGAAUAUCAUCCGCAUGAAUAAUUUGAUCACACUCUGGAAUAAGCGGUUGGAUGCCUUAGAUCAAAGGAUCUCUGAGCAUGAAGGGAAACGCAAGGAGCCUCCCGGACCUGAGCAUAACUCCAUUAAAAAGAUAAGUGCCAAAGAUGACACUACUUAGAUCUAUCCUCGCUUUUAUGCCUAGCUAGGGGUCUUAAAUGAUAGCGCUAGUUGGGAUGCAACCCAAUUUUAUUUGUGUUUUUUUGUUUUUGUUCUUGUUUAGUAAUAUUUUUUGCAUCUACCUUCUGUUUAGAUGUGUUUUUAUGUUUCAAUUAGUGUUUGUGCCAAGUAGAACCUAUAGGAUAACCUAUGGUGAUAGUUAAUUUGAUUCUGCUGAAAAACAGAAACUUUGCACGCACGAAAUUAGUAUUGUUAAUUCACAUAAACAUGCUUUUGCGUUGAUUCUUUUUUAUGUAGAUCAAUAGACAAAUUUCCCAGGACUUCCUAUUUUGGUAGGAUUUUUAAAGUUCCAUAAGUAUUCAAGAGUUAUAGAUUGCUACAGACUGUUCUGUUUUUGACAGAUUCUGUUUUUCGUGUGUUGUUGCUACGUCUCGAGCUUGCGUUGGUUUUCCCCGAAGAGGAGAGGAUGAUGCAGCACAUUAACAUAAGUAUUUCCCUCAGUUUUUGAGAACCAAGGUGUCAAUCCAGUAGGAGGUCACGCGCAAGUCCCACGUACCUGCACAAAACGAUAGCAACUCGCAACCAACGCUUAGGGGUUGUCAAUCCCUUCAUGGUCACUUACGAGAGUGAGAUCUAAUAGAGAUAAUAUUUUUGGUAUUUUUGAUAGAUAGGUGCAAAGUAAAAAGUAAAGGCAAGGUAAAAACAAAGCAAGUAAAUAAAGUGAUAUAGAUUGAUAUGAUGAGAAUAGACCCGGGGGCCAUAGGUUUCACUAGUGGCUUCUCUCAAGAGCAUAAGUAUUCUACGGUGGGUGAACAAAUUACUGUUGAGCAAUUGACAGAAUUGAGCAUAGUUAUGAGGUUAUCUAGGUAUGAUCAUGUAUAUAGGCAUCACGUCCGAGACAAGUAGAUCGAAAUGAUUCUGCAUCUACUACUAUUACUCCACUCAUCGACCGCUAUCCAGCAUGCAUCUAGAGUAUUAAGUUAAAAACAAAGUAACGCCUUAAGCAAGAUGACAUGAUCUAGAGGGAUAAAUUCAUGCAAUAUGAUAAAAAACAUAUUGUUAUACUCGAUGGAAACAAUACAAUACGUUCCUUGCAACUCCUUCUGUCACUGAGUAAGGACACCGCAAGAUUGAACCCAAAGCCAUGCACUUCUCCCAUUGCAAGAACUACCAAUCUAGUUGGCCAAACCAAACGGAUAAUUCGAAGAGACUUGCAAAGAUAACUCAAUCAUACAUAAAAGAAUUCAGAGAAGAUUCAAAUAUUAUUCAUAGAUAAGCUGGAUCAUAAACCCACAAUUCAUCGGUCUCAACAAACACACCACAAAAAGAAGAUUACAUCAAAUAGAUCUCCACAAGAGAGGGGGAGAACAUUGUAUUGAGAUCCAAAAAGAGAGAAGAAGCCAUCUAGCUACUAGCUAUUGAACCGAAGGUCUGAAGUAAGCUACUCACACUUCAUCGGAGGGGCUAUGGUGUUGAUGUAGAAGCCCUCCAUGGUAGAUGCCCCCUCCGGCGGAGCUCCAGAACAGGCCCCAAGAUGGGAUCUCGUGGAUACAGAAGCUUGCAGUGGUGGAAUUAGGUUUUUGGCUCCUGUUCUGAUCGUUCGGGGAUACGUAGGUAUAUAUAGGAGGAAGGAGUACGUCGGUGGAGCUCCGAGGGGUCCACGAGGUAGGGGGGCGCGCCCAGGGGGGGCGCGCCCUCCACCCUCGUGACCUCCUCGGAAGCUUCUUGGAGUAGGGUCCAAGUCUCCUGGAUCACGUUCGGUUGGAAAAUCAUGAUCCCGAAGGUUUCAUUCCGUUUGGACUCCGUUUGAUAUUCUGUUUCUUCGAAAUACUGAAAAAGGCAAAAAACAGCAAUUCUGGGUUGGGCCUCCGGUUAAUAGGUUAGCCCCAAAAGUAAUAUAAAAGUGAAAAAUAAAGCCCAAUAUAGUCCAAAACAGUAGAUAAAGUAGCAUGGAGCAAUCAAAAAUUAUAGAUACGUUGGAGACGUAUCAGGCAUCCCCAAGCUUAAUUCCUACUCAUCCUCGAAUUAUUUACCUACUCGCCAGUAUUGUCGCCAGUAUUGUCGUUGAUAGCCCAACAUUUAAAGAGCGGUUGGGGAAAUCAGGCGAAUUCCAAAUGAAAUUUAACCUCCCUGACAUCAUCAAAAAAGUUGAGGGACUGGAGACACUUACUGUCCCCUUCACCAAGCAGGAGAUAGAUGUGAUCGUUAAUGAAAUGCCGACCGACCGAGCUCCAGGACCAGAUGGUUUCUCUGGUAUCUUUAUCAAAAAAUGCUGGCAUAUUAUUAAGAACGACUUCUAUGAUCUAUGCAACCAGUUCUAUGAGGGGACCCUAAAUCUUGAAAGCAUCAAUGAGGGGUUUAUUACACUCAUUCCUAAGAUUCGCUCCCCAGAGAAUGUCUCUGAUUUUAGACCAAUCACUUUGUUGAAUUGUUGUCUUAAGAUUCUCACAAAACUUCUUGCCAACAGACUGCAAAAGCUCAUUCUUAAAAUCGUUCAUCGAAACCAAUAUGGAUUCCUAAAAGGCCGAUCACUACAGGACUGUCUCGCCUGGGCGUUCGAAUAUAUCCACCAGUGUCAAGCCUCCAAGGAAAAGAUCAUCCUCCUAAAACUGGAUUUCGCAAAGGCCUUUGAUACGAUCGAACAUGAUGCUAUGCUUAUGAUUAUGCAGCAUAUGGGAUUUGAUGACAGAUGGCUCAAUUGGGUAAAAUGCAUUUUCUCCUCUGGCAAGUCAGCGGUGCUUCUAAAUGGGGUCCCGGGUCGUCAAUUCAACUGUAAAUGUGGUGUUCGACAGGGUGACCCAUUCUCUCCAUUGAUUUUUGUAUUGGCGGCUGACCUCUUACAGGCCGCAAUCAAUGACGCUUUCAGACAUGGCCGAAUCCAGCUACCGUUCCCCAGAGAGAACCAACAUGACUACCCUGUGAUACAAUACGCGGACGACACGCUCAUUCUUCUACCUGCAUGCCCGGUCCAAGCCCUCACAAUCAAAAACAUUUUCACUGACUACGCUGACUCCAUUGGGCUCAAGAUAAACUUCCACAAGUCCACACUGAUCCCAAUUAACUGUGAGGCUGCCUGCUACAAUGAGCUCUCCAAUAUCUUUGGAUGUAAUGUUGGUUCCAUGCCCUUCACUUACCUAGGGUUACCUCUCGGGACAACCAAGCCCUCAGUUCAAGAUUUAAUGCCGCUUGUUUGUACAAUGGAACAUCGGAUGUCAAGCACUCUGGCCUUGAUGUCGUAUGGAGCCAGGCUAUCUCUACUCAAUACCAUGCUCACUUCACUAGUCAUCUUUGCUUUGUGCACUCUCAGACUGCCACCAAAGAUAAUUGAACUGCUUGAUAAACUGCGAAGGAAGUGUCUAUGGACAAAGAAGACAGAACAUGGGGACAAAUGCAAUUCCCUUGCGGCCUGGAGUAUGGUGUGUAGACCAAAACAGUGUGGAGGCCUUGGUAUAAUCAACCUACGCGUACAAAGUGAUGCCCUCCUCAAAUAUCUGCAUAAAUUCUACAACAAGCACGAUGUACCUUGGGUGGAGCUUGUGUGGUCCACAUACUAUACAAACAAAAUCCCCCAUGCCAUGGAACCAUGCGGAUCAUUCUGGUGGAGAGAUGUUCUCAAGCUCACCCCGAUUUACAGAGGGAUUUCUAAAGCCAUUGUGCAUGAUGGAGCUACAGUGCUCAUGUGGAAAGACCUGUGGCUUGAUGCCACUCUCGAUGAAAAGUACCAGCGCGCCUUCUCCUUUGCAAAAAAUGAAGAUAUUUCGGUUAAGGAUUUCCUGGGAUCCACAUCUCUGCAUGAAACGUUUCACCUCCCACUAUCAGUCCAAGCAAUGCAAGAAAUCCGUGCUCUUCAGCAAGAGGUGAGGCAUGCUGGCAACGCUACUGAUCUGACCCUACACGAUAACUGGACUUACUGUUGGGGCUCAGUGGAUUUUAAGGCCAUCAAAUACUACAAAUUCUAUUUUCGAGAGGUGCAUGCACAUCAAUCAUACAAGUGGCUCUGGGCGGCCAAGUCAACGCUCAAAAUUAAGGUCUUUGGGUGGCUUCUUCUCUCUGACCGCUUAAACACACGUAACAUGCUAAAGAGGAGACACUACAAUAUUGGGGACGAUUACAACUGCCUUCUUUGUGAUCAGCAAAUCGAAGAGACUAUCGAACACAUGAUCUUCCAGUGCCCCUUUAGCCAACGAUGCUGGUCCAUUCUAGGGAUAACUUGGCAGCAAACUGGUUCAAGGCUUCGGUGGAUCAGCAUGGCAGCUCAUGAUUGGAGCAGUCCCAUGUUCAUGGAUGUUUUCCUUCAAGCGGCUUGGAGCAUUUGGAAAGAGAGGAAUAACAAACAUUUCAGAAGCAUCCCACCAACUAUUCUAUCAUGGCUCCAACGUUUCAAACAUGACUUUGCCCUGCUCCAACAUAGAACCAGAGAAGAUGUGAGAGACUUUAUUCUCUCUUUUGUAAUUAGCUUAGAACCCCCUUGAUUGCCCCCACCAUAUAAAGUAGUAGUAGCCCUAGCCUCCACAUAUGGAGGGAAGGCGCCAUGUAAAAUCACCAUGUACAUUGUACCCUGCUUUUGAGUAAUACAAACACAGUGGGAGCCUCUCCCACUGUCCAAUUCCUAAAAAAAAAGAAUUUUUGAUGCGGAGUGAUACUUUGGCAUAAUUUCAAUGUAAAUCUUCUUAAUCAUGGUAUGAAUAUUCAGAUCCGAAAGAUUCAAGACAAAAGUUCAUAUUGACAUAGAAAUAAUAAGACUUCAAGCAUACUAAUCAAAGCAACCAUGUCUUCUCAAAAUAACAUGGCAAAAGAAAGUUCAUCCCUACAAAAUCAUAUAGUUAGGCUAUGCUUCAUUUUCGUCACACAAAGAUGUUCCCAACUUCUAUACCCCCGAUGACAAGCCAAGCAAUUGUUUCAUACUUAAAUAAUCUCAAACUUUUUCAACCUUCACGCAAUACAUGAGCGUGAGCCAUGGAUAUAGCACUAUGGGUGGAAUAGAAUAUGAUGAUGGAGAUUGUGUGGAGAAGACAAAAAGGAGAAAGUCUCACAUUGACGAGGCUAAUCAACGGGCUAUGGAGAUGCCCAUUAAUUGAUGUCAACACGAGGAGUAGGGAUUGUUGGGGAACGUAGUAAUUUCAAAAAUUUCCUACGCACACGCAAGGAUCAUGGUGAUGCAUAGCAACGAGAGGGGAGAGUGUUGUCCAUGUACCCUCGUAGACCGAAAGCGGAAGCGUUAUAACAACGCAGUUGAUGUAGUCGUACGUCUUCACGGCCCGACCGAUCAAGCACCAAAACUAUGGCACCUCCGAGUUCUAGCACACGUUCAGCUCGAUGGCGAUCCCCGGACUCCGAUCCAGCAAAGUGUCGGGGAAGAGUUACGUCAGCACGACGGCGUGGUGACAAUCUUGAUGUUCCACUGUCGCAGGGCUUCGCCUAAGCACCGCUACAAUAUUAUCGAGGACUAUGGUGGAGGGGGACACCGCACACGGCUAAGAGAUCUCAAGGAUCAAUUGUUGUUGUGUCUAGAGGUGCCCCCUGCCCCAGUAUAUAAAGGAGCAAGGGGGAAGGGGGCGGCCGGCCUAGGAGGGGGCGCGCCAAGGGGAGUCCUACUCCCACCGGGAGUAGGACUCCCUCCUUCCUUGUUGGAGUAGGAGAAGGGGAAAGAGGGGGAGAGGAAAAAGGAAAAGGGGGCUGCGCCCCUGGUCCAAUUCGGACCAGAGGGGGGGCGCAGGCCUCCUUCCUUUUGGCCUCUCUCCUAUAUUCUCGUAUGGCCCAAUAAGGCCCAUAUACUCCCCGGCGAAUUCCCGUAACUCUCCGGUACUCCGAAAAAUACCUGAAUCACUCGGAACCUUUCCGAAGUCCGGAUAUAGUCGUGCAAUAUAUCGAUCUUUACGUCUCGACCAUUUUGAGACUCCUCGUCAUAUCCCUGGUCUCAUCCGGGACUCCGAACUCCUUCGGUACAUCAAAACUCAUAAACUCAUAAUAUAACUGUCAUCGAAACCUUAAGCGUGCGGACCCUACGGGUUCGAGAACAAUGUAGACAUGACCGAGACACGUUUCCGGUCAAUAACCAAUAGCGGAACCUGGAUGCUCAUAUUGGCUCCCACAUAUUCUACGAAGAUCUUUAUCGGUCAAACCGCAUAACAACAUACAUUGUUCCCUUUGUCAUUGAUAUGUUACUUGCCCGAGAUUCGAUCGUCGGUAUCUCAAUACCUAGUUCAAUCUCGUUACCGGCAAGUCUCUUUACUCGUUCUGUAAUACAUCAUCCCGCAACUAACUAAUUAGUUGCAAUGCUUGCAAGGCUUAAGUGAUGUGUAUUACCGAGAGGGCCCAGAGAUACCUCUCCGAUAAUCGGAGUGACAAAUCCUAAUCUCGAAAUACGCCAACCCAACAUGUACCUUCGGAGACACCUGUAGAGCACCUUUAUAAUCACACAGUUACGUUGUGACGUUUGGUAGCACACAAAGUGUUCCUCCGGUAAACGGGAGUUGCAUAAUCUCAUAGUCACAGGAACAUAUAUAAGUCAUGAAGAAAGCAGUAGCAACAUACUAAACGAUCGUGUGCUAAGCUAACGGAAUGGGUCAAGUCAAUCACAUCAUUCUCCUAAUGAUGUGAUCCCGUUAAUCAAAUGACAACUCUUUUGUCCAUGGCUAGGAAACUUAACCAUCUUUGAUUCACAAGCUAGUCAAGUAGAGGCAUACUAGUGACACUAUGUUUGUCUAUGUAUUCACACAUGUAUUAUGUUUCCGGUUAAUACAAUUCUAGCAUGAAUAAUAAACAUUUAUCAUGAAAUAAGGAAAUAAAUAAUAACUUUAUUAUUGCCUCUAGGGCAUAUUUCCUUCAGUCUCCCACUUGCACAAGAGUCAAUAAUCUAGUUCACAUCGCCAUGUGAUUUAACACCAAUAUUCAUAUCUGUAUAUGAUUAACACCCAUAGUUCACAUCGUCAUGUGACCAACACCCAAAGGGUUUACUAGAGUCAAUAAUCUAGUCCACAUAGCUAUGUGAUUAACACCCAAAGAGUAUUGAGGUGUGAUCAUGUUUUGCUCGUGAGAGAAGCUUAGUCAACGGGUCUGUCACAUUCAGAGCCGUAUGUAUUUUGCAAAUAUUCUAUGUUUACAAUGCUCUGCAUGGAGCUACUCUAGCUAAUUGCUCACACUUUCAAUAUGUAUCCAGAUUAAGACUUAGAGUCAUCUGGAUCGGUGUAAAAGCUUGCACCGAUGUAACUCUUUACGACGGGCUCUUUUAUCACCUCCAUAAUCGAGAAAUAUAUCCUUAUUCCACUAAGGAUAAUUUUGACCAAUGUCUAGUGAUCUACUCCUAGAUCACUAUUGUACUCCCUUGCCAAACCAGGGCAGAGUAUACAAUAGGCCUGGUCCAUAGCAUGACAUAGUUUUAUAGAACCUAUGAUUGAGGCAUAGGUAAUGACUUUUCAUUCUCUUUCUAUUUUCUGCCGUGGUCGGGAUUUGAGUCUUACUCAAUUUCACACCUUGCAACACAGGUAAGAACUCCUUUGACUAUUCCAUUUUGAACUACUUCAAAAUUUUAUCAAGGUAUGUACUCAUUGAAAAAACUUAUCAAGCGUCUUGAUCUAUCUAUAUAGAUCUUGAUGCUCAAUGUGUAAGCAGCUUCACCGAGGUCUUUCUUUGAAAAACUCCUUUCAAACACUCCUUUAUGCUUUCCAGAAAAUUCUACAUCAUUUCCAAUUAAUAAUAUGUCAUUCACAUAUACUUAUUAGAAAGGCUGUAGUGCUCCCACUCACUUUCUUGUAAAUACAGGCCUUUCCAAAAGUUUGUAUAAAACCAUAUGCUUUGAUCAACUCAUCAAAGCGUAUAUUCCAACUCCGAGAUGCUUGCACCAGUCCAUUGAUGGAUCGCUGGAGCUUGCACAUUUUGUUAGCACCUUUAGGAUUGACAAAACCUUCUGGUUGUAUCAUAUACAACUCUUCUUUAAUAAAUCCAUUAAGGAAUGUAGUUUUGACAUCCAUUUGCCAAAUUUCAUAAAAUGUGGCAAUUGCUAACAUGAUUCAGACAGACUUUUAAGCAUCAAGACGAGUGAGAAAAUCUCAUUGUAUUAAACACCUUGAACUUUGUCAAAAACCUUUUUCGACAAGUCUAGCUUUGUAGAUAGUAACACUACUAUCAGCGUCUGUCUUCCUCUUGAAGAUCCAUUUAUUUUCUAUGGCUUGCCGAUCAUCGGGCAAGUCCACCAAAGUCCACACUUUGUUCUCAUACAUGGAUCCCAUCUCAGAUUUCAUGUGUCACAACCCUAGAUCUUUGUUUGUAAUUAGUUGCAUCUUCAUCCAUGUCAUCAUGUUUAUAUUUAAAUGAACUUGAAAUGGGGAUGCUUAAACCCUAGCACCAAAUGAAUUCAACUAGGGUCAAAAUAAAAUCUUUUUCAUUGAACUCAAAAUGCCCUCUAAAAAUGUUCAACAUUUUUGGUUUGAGGUGGAAGCAUCUACCAAAAAUGGUUUAUAUUUUUGCAGGACAUAUUGGGCUCUGAAUUAAAUCAUACUCUAUUUGCAUUUGGGCAUUUAAAUGCUAUGCAAUAUUUUAAAUGCUCAAAUAAUCAUAAACUAAAAUGUUUGCUGUUGGUUAUAUUCCAAACAGUGGCAUUGAGCAGUUUCAUGAUUUCUGGAUCUGUUGAAGUAUUUUUAAUAAAGCCCUAAAGUUACAGAAAUAAUAGAAAACAGAAAAUUAAGGAGAGAGAGAGAACUUACCUGACUUAUCUGUCGCGGCCCAGCUGGCCAGCCCACCUGCGCGGCCCAGCCCGCCUGGCCCCUCCCCUAUCGUCUUCCUCCUUGCUAGGAGGACGAGCGCAUGCCCGACGCGCGUGCACCGCCGUGCGCCACCUCCUGCUUGACGCCGAGGGCCUGGACGCCUCUGGCGUUGCCACGCAGACCCCCUGGACCCCUCGACCGCUCCACUCUCUCCCCGCCUCGCCUCCUUCGCUCUCUCUCCCGAAGCAGAGCGAAGCCGUCGCCGCCGUUCACUGCCACCGCGUCCACCGUUCUCCCCUCGCCUCCCCGUGAUGUACAAGACCUCCGACGCGACGCCCUCACCCUCCCCACCGAGCCACGCUUCGCCGAGUCCCUGCAUCGCCACCAUAUGGUCGUCUUCAACCUCGGUACCCGCCGGACGCCGUUCGUCGAUUCGCCUCGCUCCGGUCGCCCCCGAGCCCACUGAUCUACUCAACGACCUCCCUGUGAGCUCCGCCGCAUUUUCCCUCUCCUCCCCGCGUCAUUUUUGCCCUCUAGCCGCAGCCCUGAGAUCACCCGAGGCCGCCGUCCGCCAUGACCGGCGAGCCCAUGCACCCGAGCUUCUCCUGCUCGCUCUAGGGGUACUGACAUGCUCCUGGCGCCUCCAGGAGGCUGCCUAGCCACUCCGUUAGCUCGCUCGAGCACUGCAGCCCUGCGCCCGCGCUAUCCCGAACUCCGGCCGCCGUUGUUGUCAUCGCCGGCGCCGCCACAGACCACCCCUAGUCCAGCCACCACCACCGUUAGAUGCGCCCAGCUACGGGCGAUCCAACGCGCCCGUCCGCGCGAUCUCUCGUCGCCGGAGUUGGCCGGACGGGCGACGCCGUCGUGAUGUGCUUAGCACCGGCGUUUAGCCGUCGACGUGGCACCGUCAUUAGCAGUUAAUGACUCCGCUAAUUAACCCACACUCUCACUGACAUGCGGGCCCCGCUGCCUAACUAACCAGCUAACAAGAAUAGAUUAAGAUUAAUCUAAACACAGUGGCCCCACGUGUCGGCGUUGACCUCGCUGAUUUGGCCGUCGACCGGUCCCACUUGUCAUCCACCUAAACCAGCCUGAGACACUGACGUAUGGGUCCCACUGGUCAGGUUUGACCUGGGCCGCCCAUUGACCUGCUGACAUCACUAAUACGUCAUGCUGACGCAGUAAAUGUUUUCUGGAGUUUUAAAUAAAUCAGAAAUGAUUUAUUUAUUUCAGAAAAUAUCCAAAACUUCUAAAAAUCAUAGAAUUUCAACCGUAACUCCAAAUGAAACAAAUUAUAUAUGAAAAAUGAUCAGAAAAAUCCAAUCUAUCCAUCUGCACUGGUUUCAUGCAUGUUAGAACACAUUAACCUUGCUGUUUAGGUGAAACAAGUUAAUGCACUAUUAUGACCUCUUAAAAUGGGUUUGCAUUUGAAUCUUUGAUUCAAAUGGACUCAUCUCAAUCUGAUCUAGCUGGCAUUAGACCAAAACACAUUCAUAUUGCCAUGUCAUAGCAUGCAUCAUAUUGUGCAUUGCAUUGAUCGUGUUUCUUCUGUGUUUGUCGGUGUUGUUCCCCCUCGGUAGACGUUGUACCAACGUUGUGAUCGUUGACACUAAUAAAGACUCAAUGCUAUCUUCAGAAGUGCCAGGCAAGCAAAACCCCCUUGUUCAUUCCGAUACAAUCCUACUCUCUCGCUCCUGCUCUCUUUUACUGCAUUAGGACAACAACGAUUCAUCUGUUACUUGCUGCGGUAGCUGAACCCCUUUAUCCUCUGCAUGACCUGUCAUUGCCACAGUAAAUAGAUGAAACCCACUAGCAUGAGUAGGAGUUGUUUGAGCCCUGUUGUGCCUACUCAUUCAUGCUUGUUUGUCAUGCCUGCUACUGCUUAGAGUUGAGUCAGGUUUGAUCCAUCGAGGAUGAAUCAGAGGUGUGUGAACAUGUCCUACUGUGUGUGAGCUAAGUGUGUGAACACGAUUUGGUAAAGGUAGCAGUGAGAGGCCAUGUAGGAGUACAUGGUGGGUUGUCUCAUUGAAGCCGUCCUUAGGAACUGAGUUCUGUGUUUGUGAUCCAUGAUUCAGCUACUACCAUGCAUUGGGCCCUGAAAUAUGACCCUGCUCGACUUCUUAUUCACCCUUGUCCUCUGUCCAGGAGUUGCAAGUAGUUUCUGGUGUUUGUAGUAUGCUGGAGGCCGUGCGCAGCGCUGACCGGAGGGGUGGGAUGUGAUGCGGUAGGCACGUGGCCGGGUAAACCAGGCGCCCGUUUGGUGUCACGGAACCCUAUUCACAUCGUUUGGGGCUGUGAGCGAAACUCCGGCCGGAUCUCCUCAUGGAUGGAACCCGAAUAGGCGAUAAACCUGGACUAGAGACUUGAAUGUUUAGGUAGGUCGUGGUCUACACUCACGUCGGCUUUCGCUUGAAGUCUGCCGAGCACAUGUCGUGUGCAGACGCUAAGUGGUGGAAACAUGUAUGAAGAAGUACACCCCUGCAGGGUUACCAUCAUCUAUUCGAAUAGCCGUGUCCACGGUAAAGGACUUCUGGGUUGCCUAUAACAGUUCAUAGACAAGUGAAAGUGGAUACUCUAAAAUGCGCAAGAUAAGCGUGAGUGCUAUGAAUGGCGUUCUCGUAGGGAGACGGGAGCGGAUCCAUAGUGGUGUAUUGAUAUGGUGAAUAUGUGGACUCGUGUGCGCCACCUCAAAAGAGUUACUUGCAGUCGUAGUUCAGGAUAGCCACCGAGUCAAAGCUGGCUUGCUGCAGUUAAACUCCACCACCCCCUUUGUUGAUAAUGAUGCAUAUGUAGUUAGUUCUGAUGUAAGUCUUGCUGGGUACAUUUGUACUCACGUUUGCCUAUUUUAUGUUUUUGCAGAGACUUCCGUCUCACUAGUAGUUUCGCGUGGACUUCAACAUUUAGCUUGAUACCUCAGCUACGAUCUUGUGCCCUCGGCAGGAUCUGGUAGAUAGUCAGGCUUCUAAGCCUUUUUCAUUUGUAGAUGUCUGUACUCAGACAUGUUAGCUUCCGCUUGUGCUUUGACUUGUAUGCUCUGAAUGUUGGGUCGUGAGACCCAUGUUUGUAAUAUCUCGCUCCUCGGAGCCUAAUGAAUAAAUACUUGAGUCGUAGAGUCAUGUUGUGAUGCCAUGUUGUAUUUGCACAUAUCGAGCAUAUUGUGUGUAUGUUAUUCAAAUGCUUGGUAUGUGUGGGAUCUGACUAUCUAGUUGUUUAUCCUUAGUAGCCUCUCUUACCGGGAAAUGUCUCCUAGUGUUUCCACCGAGCCAUGGUAGCUUGCUACUGCUCCGGAAUACUUAGGCUAGCCGGCAUGUGUCCUUCUUCGUUCCCGUGUCUGUCCCCUCGGGGAAAUGUCAUGUGAUGAAUACCGGAGUCAUGUUAGCCUGCUACAGCCCGGUUCACCGGAGUCCUGCUAGCCCAGUGCUACAGCCUGGAUUCACUCGGUAAUGACCGACACGUUCGAUGCUGGGUCAUGGAUGCCUGUCCCUGUAAGGUUGUGCCACUUUGGGUUUAUGACUAGCCAUGUCAGCCCGAGCUCCUUAUCAUAUGGAUGCUAGCGACACUAUCAUAUACGUGUGCCAAAAGGCGCAAACGGUCCCGGGCAAAGGUAAGGCGACACCCGUGGGAAUACUGUGCGUGAGGCCGCAAAGUGAUAUGAUGUGUUACAUGCUAGACCGAUGUGGCAUUGAGUCGGGGUUCUGACAGCUUUGGUAUCAGAGCCUGACUGCCUGUAGGAUUACCAAGCCAAACUGGUCGAAGUUGUGUCUAGAAAUGCUUUAGUUAUGUAAGGGAAUUGAUUGUGGGAUGGAACGUAAGGCUCUUUUUACUCCUUAUACCUCAUGGCCUUCUAAUCUGAGUCAUCCUCUUCUCUUCUACGGGGAUUAAGAAUUAGGUUAUCUCCUCUUUCUAUCAGGAUCACGUGUUACUAAUCUGUAGACUUGUAAGAUUGUUGGAUGUAAGCCUCAGUCCAGUUCCUACCACUUCUGUAUGUUAACUGAUGAUCUUGAAACCUUGAUAUUGUGCUUCUGAGUGGCUAUGCCACCAUUUCUGUAGUAUGUCUCCAAACUUUUGAGCAUUUACAUCCGUUAUGCUGUCCGAGUCAUCCCAGGUUUCUAAACAAUCUGAUGCACUUGCAAAUCCUUUCCCUCUGGUUUUUAUGUUCCUUUGGGCCAGGUUAAUCACACUAAUUGCUGAGUUGAGGUAUUCUAUUGCCUCGACAUAUAUGUUGGAAUUAUCAUUAUGACCCUAGGUGUCCUAGGGGAUCAUCUAGUAAUCUAGCCAUGAUUGGUGUCCCAGUGUGAUGAUUCUGGCCUUUAUUCUCGAAAGCAUCCCGUGAUGCUACUUAGUAGUAGAUAUUCUAUUCCUGGGUUCUUGAACCCGAGAUUCACUCUACUUACUUCAUGUUGAUAGUGUUUGCUAGUUCCUUUAGGAUAUUAGUAACUUUGCGAUAGUCCUCGAGGUCCGUGGUAUUUCCUUCUUCCAAAUACUAUGAACCGCUUAUGGCAGAUGUUUAUUGGAUCAAAAGAUCACAAUUAGAGUACUCUUGAGGAGUUCUCCAUUCAUAAAUCGUGACUCUGCCAGUCCUACCUCUCUGCAUGGGUUAUCCGGAAGAAACAUGUUGAACUUGGUUCGACAUACUAAUCUAUGCAUCCUCAACUUAGAAAAUUUUAUGUUCUUUGAGUUGUCCCUCUUAGUUGUCUUCUGACCCUCGUAUAUCAGUUGAUAGUCAAGAGUAUGCGUGCAUUCCUAUUACUCUUGUGGUCCGUCAAGCCAUUCUAUUCCGGAAUGACUAGGAGAAACAAACUCCAGUACCUUGUCCAUUUCCAGGAUUGGGUCAAAGCAGUCGUACUCCGCAGAUCAAAUUGCUAAUCUUGCUUUUGCUCUGUUCUACCUUGGAGUAUUACCAUCUUCAUAUCAAGAAUGUCAUGGGAACUGCACACCAUCCUAUGAACUCUUGAUACAGUGAUACUUCUUAUCAUCAUUAUUCAUUCCUCGGUUUUGUGUUAUUGUAACCGGAACGCCGACAAGUGAAUCAUGACGUGUGAAAUCAAUACUCCUAGCAACUCCGUUGCUUGGUAGUUAACUGGACAAUAACCUCAUCCUUAGCAAGUUCAUCACUGAAUCAUCACCCUAAGGUUGAUCGUGCUACCUAGUCCACUUUCCUGGUGCACUCCUCGAUUGAUGAGUUAGGAUUUUGUUUAGUCCUUGCUCAUUUGAUCAUAUCGUCUUGCCCUGAAAAGCAAGAUUGUUCUCGAGUUUAGUAACAUAUCGGUGGUUCAUGAUUUUCCGAAUAUCCUCUCGGAAGUAUCACCAAGUCGUCACCUGACUGUUAUGUUGAGCUCAUGAUCAAAUUGGUUUCCUGUAAACCACCCCCUUCUCCAAAAUUCUAUGUUGGAUACCCUGAGCUAGUCGGUAAACUGAACAACAACUUGGAGAGUUGGAAGAUAAAAGCUUGUCCGACUUAGUUCAUUUUAAGGGAUAUCUUGUAUGUGUGUUGAAGAAAGAUGAUAUCUUUAUUGGUUGAUCCUCGUGAUCAAUUGUUGGAUCUAUUAUCUUACCCAAACCAUUGAUUUGAGUAUGGGCUAUCGUCAAAUCAAAUCAGAACCAACGAUAUUCGUAAUGUUGUCUUACUCGUGGUUGAUUCCUCAAGCAUACACCACUAUAUCUCUUGGGUCUGACCAAUGCUAUCACCGUGUUCACAUGAUGGUGGAAGUCCAGUGAUAUGGAAAUUCCGAUGAGUUGUUGUUGAGCCCAUCAGCAGCAUUUUGUCUCCCCCAUGAUUCAUGUUGGACAUCAACCUAGUGUUGGAAACUUUGUAAGCAAUGCAUUCGUGUUCCGUUCAUGAAGCCUAUGCUUGGAUGGAAGAAGUGACUUCCUCGAAUUCAUGUGCAUUUGGUGCAAGUUGCUGCCAUGAAUUUGGGAAAGGUUUGUUUUGCUUCCUUCGGAAUCAUCCCAAGUCAGUCACGCAUUCGUGCGAAGUAUUCUAUGGUUUGGUAGAUUAAUUACCUCCAUUCUAUAUGUGUCCCUAGCACACCAAGCCACUGAUUGAUCUGUUCAAGGAUAAUAAGUUCUAAGUGCUAGUCCUAAAGGUACCAGACGGAUUUGUACAAGAUUUUGUUAUCCUCAAUGAUGGUUUCCCACCUGAACGUGGUAGUGUUUUAUUGUAAGACUACGAUGUGGCCAUGCUUGUCUGAGACAACGUGUUCACAUGUUUGUAGCAGAACCAGCUCAUAUUUUGGAGCUUACUAUCGUAGUUCAUUCCCCGAGAAUCUCACAACGUCAUCUCGUCGAUUGUGUUGCAAACUUUCGGUUUUCUUUCUAGACUUGAUGAGUCUAGAAUAUCCUGACACCAGCCAGAUCUGAAUCUCAGGCAAAUAUGAUGGUUGGAACGUCUUCCAAGAACUAUAAUAUUGGUCUCUUUGUAACCCGGUGAAGUGGAUGUCGUGGCCAACACAUCUAGCCGGAAGACCUAUUAUUGUAGGCUCUUGAUUGAGAAAGUUGGCUACCUCCACAUAAGGAUUUCGUGGGAUUUACUCCCAAAUUGACCCUUAUGGAUUUUUGAGUUCCCGAAGUCCGACCUUUACCUGAUGUUCUAGAUGUCAAACCAUAUCUAUGAAUGGAUUAUGCUAGUACAUCAAGGAGAACAUUAGAAGCGGAGUGCUAAAUGUCUCUCGGUCGAUCAUCCAGAUUUCGUCCCCUUGGCCCCGCUAAGGUGAAAUCUGAGAAAGUGUUGUCUUCCUUUGUAUCUGCAUCCUCCACCGGUAUUCGUCAUGGUAGUAUGUUGUGUUGCCAGGAUCCCUGACACGGAUAUUGGUAAAACCUUGAUGAAUAUGGAAAUGCUCAAGUUCUUGAGAGCACGCGCAAGCGCUAGGUGUUAACAUCGGCACUAACUGGGAUUGCUCUCAGUUUCCUCGGUUAUGCUAUAACUUUUCAAACAGUGGACUCACUCUCUACUGUUGAGCUUCUCCCCAAUUACUAAAAUCAUCCCUUGCGUUGUUUUCAGCAAGGUAGUCCACAUCAUCCAUACUGGUCCGGGUAUGUCAUUCCACCGGACUCCUCCAAAUGAUCGAUUGUGAUUUGCCUUAGGCUGGUAUAAAGAGUUUCAAUGAUCCUUGAAUCAAAGGUAAUUCUUUUUGCCACUUAAGGGGGAUAUAUUCUGCGAGUCACCUCCUCUAAGAUGUCUCGUUAUGGUAUCAUGGCAAUUAUUUCCUCGCCACCUUGACACGCGUGGAAUUGUUUCCCACCAAAUCAAGCCCCGCCGUUUGUUCUUCCAUCCCUCUCGAUGUGUUUUGUGUCUCAACUCAAGAUGUUUCAACAUCUCAUUCUGCGAGUUGAGAUUGUGUAGUUCAAUCUUUGAGAAUAUCAAUCCUAGUAGAGUUUCUUUCCGUCGUCAUCGCGUGGAUGAAGAUCUCAAGCGAGGAUGUCAAGAUCAACGUAUGCAACGAAUCAACAACCUUAUGAGGUGCAACUUGGAUCGUGAAGAUUGUGUUGGUCUUGUGCCCCCUCUGUCUUCUUACCUCACGACCUGAAUCUCGGGACGAGAUUCUUGUUUAGUAGGGGUGAGUUGUCACAGCCCUAGAUCUUUGUUUGUAAUUAGUUGCAUCUUCAUCCAUGUCAUCAUGUUUAUAUUAAAUGAACUUGAAAUGGGGAUGCUUAAACCCUAGCACCAAAUGAAUUCAACUAGGGUCAAAAUAAAAUCUUUUUCAUUGAACUCAAAAUGCCCUCUAAAAAUGUUCAACAUUUUUGGUUUGAGGUGGAAGCAUCUACCAAAAAUGGUUUAUAUUUUUGCAGGACAUAUUGGGCUCUGAAUUAAAUCAUACUCUAUUUGCAUUUGGGCAUUUAAAUGCUAUGCAAUAUUUUAAAUGCUCAAAUAAUCAUAAACUAAAAUGUUUGCUGUUGGUUAUAUUCCAAACAGUGGCAUUGAGCAGUUUCAUGAUUUCUGGAUCUGUUGAAGUAUUUUUAAUAAAGCCCUAAAGUUACAGAAAUAAUAGAAAACCGAAAAUUGAGGAGAGAGAGAACUUACCUGACUUACCUGUCGCGGCCCAGCUGGCCAGCCCACCUGCGCGGCCCAGCCCGCCUGGCCCCUCCCCUGUCGUCUUCCUCCUUGCCAGGAGGACGGGCGCAUGCCCGACGCGCGUGCACCGCCUUGCGCCACCUCCUGCUUGACGCCGAGGGCCUGGACGCCUCUGGAGUUGCCAUGCAGACCCCCUGGACCCCUCGACCGCUCCACUCUCUCCCUGCCUCGCCUCCUUCGCUCUCUCUCCCGAAGCAGAGCGAAGCCGUCGCCGCCGUUCACUGCCACUGCGUCCACCGUUCUCCCCUCGCCUCCCCAUGAUGUACAAUACCUCCGACGCGACGCCCUCGCCCUCCCCACCGAGCGACGCUUCACCGGAGUCCCUGCAUCGCCACCAUCUGGUCGUCUUCAACCUCGAUACCCGCCGGACGCCGUUCGUCGAUUCGCCUCGCUCCGGUCGCCCCCGAGCCCACUGAUCUACUCAACGACCUCCCUGUGAGCUCCGCCGCUUUUUGCCUCUCCUCCCCGCGUCAUUUUCGCCCUCUAGCCGCAGCCCUGAGAUCACCCGAGGCCGAGCUUCUCCUGCUCGCUCUAGGGGUACUGACAUGCUCCUGGCGCCUCCAGGAGGCUGCCUAGCCACUCCGUUAGCUCGCCCAAUCACUGCAGCCCCGCGCCCGCGCUAUCCCAAACUCCGGCCGCCGCUGUUGUCAUCGCCGGCGCCGCCACAGACCACCCCUGGUCCAGCCACCACCACCGUCAGAUGCGCCCAGCUACGGGCGAUCCAACGCGCCCGGCCGCGCGAUCUCUCGUCGCCGGAGUUGGCCGGACGGGCGACGCCGUCGUGCUGUGCUUAGCACCGACGUUUAUCCGUCGACGUGGCACCGUAUUAGCAGUUAAUGACUCCGCUAAUUAACCCACACUCUCACUGACAUGCGGGCCCCGCUGCCUAACUAACCAGCUAACAAGAAUAGAUUAAGAUUAAUCUAAACACAGUGGCCCCACGCGUCGGUGUUGACCUCGCUGACGUGGCCGUCGACCGGUCCCACUUGUCAUCCACCUAAACCAGCCUGAGACACUGACGUAUGGGUCCCACUGGUCAGGUUUGACCUAGGCCGCCCAUUGACCUGCUGACAUCACUAAUACGUCAUGCUGAUGCAGUAAAUGUUUUCUGGAGUUUUAAAUAAAUCAGAAAUGAUUUAUUUAUUUCAGAAAAUAUCCAAAACUUCUAAAAAUCAUAGAAUUUCAACCGUAACUCCAAAUGAAACAAAUUAUAUAUGAAAAAUGAUCAGAAAAAUCCAAUCUAUCCAUCUGCACUGGUUUCAUGCAUGUUAGAACACAUUAACCUUGCUGUUUAGGUGAAACAAGUUAAUGCACUAUUAUGACCUCUUAAAAUGGGUUUGCAUUUGAAUCUUUGAUUCAAAUGGACUCAUCUCAAUCUGAUCUAGCUGGCAUUAGCCCAAAACACAUUCAUAUUGCCAUGUCAUAGCAUGCAUCAUAUUAUGCAUUGCAUUGAUCGUGUUUCUUCUGUGUUUGCCGGUGUUGUUCCCCCUCGGUAGACGUUGUACCAACGUUAUGAUCGUUGACACUAAUGAAGACUCAAUGCUAUCUUCAAAAGUGCCAGGCAAGCAAAACCCCCUUGUUCAUUCCGAUACAAUCCUACUCUCUCGCUCCUGCUCUCUUUUACUGCAUUAGGACAACAACGAUUCAUCUGUUACUUGCUGCGGUAGCUGAACCCCUUUAUCCUCUGCAUGACCUGUCAUUGCCACAGUAAAUAGAUGAAACCCACUAGCAUGAGUAGGAGUUGUUUGAGCCCUGUUGUGCCUACUCAUUCAUGCUUGUUUGUCAUGCCUGCUACUGCUUAGAGUUGAGUCAGGUUUGAUCCAUCGAGGAUGAAUCAGAGGUGUGUGAACAUGUCCUACUGUGUGUGAGCUAAGUGUGUGAACACGAUUUGGUAAAGGUAGCAGUGAGAGGCCAUGUAGGAGUACAUGGUGGGUUGUCUCAUUGAAGUCGUCCUUAGGAACUGAGUUCUAUGUUUGUGAUCCAUGAUUCAGCUACUACCAUGCAUUGGGCCCUGAAAUAUGACCCUGCUCGACUUCUUAUUCACCCUUGUCCUCUGUCCAGGAGUUGCAAGUAGUUUCUGGUGUUUGUAGUAUGCUGGAGGCCGUGCGCAGCGCUGACUGGAGGGGUGGGCUGUGAUGCGGUAGGCACGUGGCCGGGUAAACCAGGCGCCCGUUUGGUGUCACGGAACCCUAUUCACAUCGUUUGGGGCUGUGAGCGAAACUCCGGCCGGAUCUCCUCAUGGAUGGAACCUGAAUAGGCGAUAAAACUGGACUGGAGACUUGAAUGUUUAGGUAGGUCGUGGUCUACACUCACGUCGGCUUUCGCUUGAAGUCUGCCGAGCACAUGUCGUGUGCAGACGCUAAGUGGUGGAAACAUGUAUGAAGAAGUACACCCCUGCAGGGUUAACAUCAUCUAUUCGAAUAGCCGUGUCCACGGUAAAGGACUUCUGGGUUGCCUAUAACAGUUCAUAGACAAGUGAAAGUGGAUACUCUAAAAUGCGCAAUAUAAGCGUGAGUGCUAUGAAUGGCGUUCUCGUAGGGAGACGGGAGCGGAUCCAUAGUGGUGUAUUGAUAUGGUGAAUAUGUGGACUCGUGUGCGCCACCUCAAAAGAGUUACUUGCAGUCGUAGUUCAGGAUAGCCACUUUGUCAAAGCUGGCUUGCUGUAGUUAAACUCCACCACCCCCUUUGUUGAUAAUGAUGCAUAUGUAGUUAGUUCUGAUGUAAGUCUUGCUGGGUACAUUUGUACUCACGUUUGCCUAUUUUAUGUUUUUGCAGAGACUUCCGUCUCACUAGUAGUUCCGCAUGGACUUCGACGUUUAGCUUGAUACCUCAGCUACGAUCUUGUGCCCUCGGCAGGAUCUGGUAGAUAGUCAGGCUUCUAAGCCUUUUUCAUUUGUAGAUGUCUGUACUCAGACAUGUUAGCUUCCGCUUGUGCUUUGACUUGUAUGCUCUGAAUGUUGGGUCGUGAGACCCAUGUUUGUAAUAUCUCGCUCCUCGGAGCCUAAUGAAUAAAUACUUGAGUCGUAGAGUCAUGUUGUGAUGCCAUGUUGUAUUUGCACAUAUCGAGCAUAUUGUGUGUAUGUUAUUGAAAUGCUUGGUAUGUGUGGGAUCGGACUAUCUAGUUGUUUAUCCUUAGUAGCCUCUCUUACCGGGAAAUGUCUCCUAGUGUUUCCACCGAGCCAUAGUAGCUUGCUACUGCUCCGGAACACUUAGGUUGGCCGGCAUGUGUCCUUCUUCGUUCCUGUGUUUGUCCCCUCGGGGAAAUGUCACGCGAUGAAUACCGGAGUCCUGUUAGCCCGCUACAGCCCGGUUCACCGGAGUCCUGCUAGCCCAGUGCUACAGCCUGGAUUCACUCGCUGAUGACCGACACGUUCGAUGCUGGGUCAUGGAUGCAUGUCCCUGUAAGGUUGUGCCACUUUGGGUUUAUGACUAGCCAUGUCAGCCCGGGCUCCUUAUCAUAUGGAUGCUAGCAACACUAUCAUAUACGUGUGCCAAAAGGCGCAAACGGUCCCGGGCAAAGGUAAGGCGACACCCGUGGGAAUACCGUGCGUGAGGCCGCAAAGUGAUAUGAUGUGUUACAUGCUAGACCGAUGUGGCAUUGAGUCGGGGUUCUGACAUCAUGGCCUCAAACCAUUUUGCGGAAUCUGGGCUCAUCAUCUCUUCCUCAUAGUUCGUAGGUUCAUCAUGGUCUAGUAACAUGACUUCCAGAAUAGGAUUACCGUACCACUCUGGUGCGGAUCUUAAUCUGGAAGAUCUACAAAGUUCGGUAGUAACUUGAUCUGAAGCUUCAUGAUCAUUAUCAUUAGCUUCCUCACUAAUUGGUGUAGGAAUCACUAGAACUGAUUUAUGUGAUAAACUACUUUCCAAUUCGGGAGAAGGUACAAUUACCUUAUCAAGCUCUACUUUCCUCCCACUCACUUCUUUCGAGAGAAACUCCUUCUCUAGAAAGGAUCCAUUUUAGCAACGAAUAUAUUGCCUUCAGAUCUGUGAUAGAAGGUGUACCCAACAGUUUCCUUUGGGUAUUCUAUGAAGACGCACUUCUUCGAUUUGGGUUCGGGCUUAUCAGGUGAAACUUUUUCAGAUAAGCAUCGCAGCCCCCAAACUUUAAGAAACGACAACUUUGGUUUCUUGCCAAACCACAGUUCAUAAGGCGUCAUAUCAACGGAUUUUAAUGGUGCCCUAUUAAACGUGAAUGCAGCUGUAUCUAAUGCAUAACCCCAAAGCGAUAGUGGUGAACUGAUAAGAGACAUCAUAGAUCGCACCAUAUCUAGUAAAGUACGAUUACGAUGUUCGGACACACCAUUACGUUGUGGUGUUCCUGGUGGCGUGAGUUGCGAAACUAUUUCAUAUUGUUUCAAAUGAAGACCAAACUCGUAACUCAAAUAUUCAUCUCCACGAUCUGAUCGUAGAAACUUUAUUUUUCUUGUUACGAUGAUUUUUCACUUCUCUCUGAAAUUCUUUGAACUUUUCAAAUGUUUCAGACUUAUGUUUCAUCAAGUAGAUAUGCCCAUAUCUGCUCAAAGCAUCUAUGAAGGUCAGAAAAUAAUGAUACACGCCGCGAGCCUUAACACUCAUCGGAUUGCAUACAUCGGUAUGUAUUAUUUCCAAUAAGUCAGUAGCUCGUUCCAUUGUUCCGGGGAACGGAGUUUUAGCCAUCUUGCCCAAAAGGCACGGUUCGCAAGCAUCAAAUGAUUCAUAACCAAGUGAUUCUGAAGAUCCAUCUUUAUGGAGUUUCUUCAUGCGCUUUACACCGAUAUGACCCAAACGGCAGUGCCACAAAUAAGUUGCACUAUCAUUAUUAACUUUGCAUCUUUUGGCAUCAAUAUAAUGAAUAUGUGUAUCACUACAAUCGAGAUCCAACAAACUAUUUUCAUUGGGUGUAUGACCAUUUGAAGGUUUUAUUCAUUUAAAUAGAACAACAAUUAUUCUUUGACUUUAAAUGAAUAAUCGUAUUGCAAUAAACAUGAUCAAAUCAUAUUCAUGCUCAACGCAAACGCCAAAUAACAUUUAUUUAGGUUUAAAACUAAUCCCGAAAGUAUAGGGAGUGUGCGAUGAUGAUCAUAUCAAUCUUGGAACUACUUCCAACACUCAUCGUCACUUCCCCUUUAACUAGUCUCUGUUUAUUCUGUAAUUCCUAUUUCGAGUUACUAAUCUUAGCAACCGAACAAGUAUCAAAUACUCAAGGGCUACUAUAAACACUAGUAAGGCACACAUCAAUAACCUGUAUAUCAAAUAUACCCUUGUUCACUUUGCCAUCCUUCUUAUCCACCAAAUAUUCAGGGCAUUUCCGCUUCGAGUGACCAUUUCCUUUGCAGUCUAAGCACUCAGUUUCAGGCUUUGGUUCAACUUUGGGCUUCUUCGUGGGAGUGACAACUUGCUUGUCAUUUACUUGAAAUUCCCCUUUCUUUCCCUUUGCCCUUUUCUUGAAACUAGUGAUCUUGUCAACCAUCAACACUUGAUGCUGUUUCUUGAUUCCUACCUUCGUCGAUUUCAACAUCACGAAGAGCUCGGGAAUUGUUUCCGUCAUCCCUUGCAUACUAUAGUUCAUCACAAAGUUCUACUAACUGGUGAUGGUGACUAGAGAACUCUGUCAAUCACUAUCUUAUCUGGAAGAUUAACUCCCACUUGAUUCAAGCGAUUGUAGUACCCAGACAAUCUGAGCACAUGCUCACUAGUUGAGUGAUUCUCCUCAAUCUUUUAGCCAUAGAACUUGUUGGAGACUUCAUAUCUCUUAACUCGGAUAUUUGCUUGAAAUAUUAGCUUCAACUCCUGGAACAUCUCAUAUGGUCCAUGACGUUCAAAACGUCUUUGAAGUUCCGAUUCUAAGCCGUUAAGCAUGGUGCACUAAACUAUCAAGUAGUCAUCAUAUUGAGCUAGCCAAACGUUCAUAACGUCUGCAUCUGCUCCUGCAAUAGGUCUGUCACCUAGCGGUGCAUUAAGGGCAUAAUUCUUCUGUGCAGCAAUGAGGAUAAACCUCAGAUCACGGAUCCAAUCCACAUCAUUGCUACUAACAUCUUUCAACACAAUUUUCUCUAGGAACAUAUCAAAACAAACAUAUGAAAGCAACAACGCGAGCUAUUGAUCUACAACAUAAUUUGCAAAAUACUACCAGGACUAAGUUCAUGAUAAAUUUAAGUUCAAUUAAUCAUAUUACUUAAGAACUCCCACUUAGACAGACAUCUCUCUAGCCAUCUAAGUGAUCACGUGAUCCAAAUCAACUAAACCAUGUCCGAUCAUCACGUGAGAUGGAGUAGUUUCAAUGGUGAACAUCACUAUGUUGAUCAUAUCUACUAUAUGAUUCAUGUUCGACCUUUUGGUCUCCGUGUUCCGAGGCCAUAUCUGUAUAUGCUAGGCUCGUCAAGUUUAACCUGAGUAUUCCGCGUGUGCAACUGUUUUGCACCCGUUGUAUUUGAACGUAGAGCCUAUCACAUCCGAUCAUCACGUGGUGUCUCAGCACGAAGAACUUUCGCAAUGGUGCAUACUCAGGGAGAACACUUCUUGAUAAUUUAGUGAGAGAUCAUCUUAAAAUGCUACCGUCAAUCAAAGCAAGAUAAGAUGCAUAAAGGAUAAACAUCACAUGCAAUCAAUAUAAGUGAUAUGAUAUGUCCAUCAUCAUCUUGUGCUUGUGAUCUCCAUCUCCGAAGCACCAUCGUGAUCACCAUCAUCAAUGGCGCGACACCUUGAUCUCCAUCGUAGCAUCGUUGUCGUUACGCCAUCUAUUGCUUCUACGACUAUCGCUACCGCUUAGUGAUAAAGUAAAGCAAUUACAGGGCGUUUGCAUUUCAUACAAUAAAGCGACAACCAUAUGGCUCCUGCCAGUUACCGAUAACUUUGGUUACAAAACAUGAUCAUAUCAUACAAUAAAAUAUAGCAUCACGUCUUGACCAUAUCACAUCACAACAUGCCCUGCAAAAACAAGUUAGACGUCCUCUACUUUGUUGUUGCAAAUUUUACGUGGCUGCUAUGGGCUGAGCAAGAACCGUUCUUACCUACACAUCAAAACCACAACGAUAGUUCAUCAAGUUAGUGCUGUUUUAACCUUCGCAAGGACUGGACGUAGCCACACUCGGUUCAACUAAAGUUGGAGAAACAGACACCCGCUAGUCACCUGUGUGCAAAGCACGGCAGUAAAACCAGUCUCGCGUAAGCGUACGCGUAAUGUCGGUCCGGGCCGCUUCAUCCAACAAUACCGUUGAACCAAAGUAUGACAUGCCGGUAAGUAGUAUGACUUGUAUCGCCCACAACUCAGUUGUGUUCUACUCGUGCAUAUAACAUCAACGCAUAAAACCUAGGCUCGGAUGCCACUGUUGGGGAACGUAGUAAUUUCAAAAAUUUCCAACGCACACGCAACGAUCAUGGUGAUGCAUAGCAACGAGAGGGGAGAAUGUUGUCCACAUACCCUCAUAGACCGAAAGUGGAAGCGUUAUAACAACGCGGUUGAUGUAGUCGUACGUCUUCACGGCCCGACCGAUCAAGCACCGAAACUACGGCACCUCCGAGUUCUAGCACACGUUCAGCUCGAUGACGAUCCCCGGACUCCGAUCCAGCAAAGUGUCGGGGAAGAGUUCUGUCAGCACGACGGCGUGGUGACGAUCUUGAUGUUUGACUGUCGCAGGGCUUCGCCUAAGCACCGCUACAAUAUUAUCGAGGACUAUGGUGGAGGGGGGCACCGCACACGGCUAAGAGAUCUCAAGGAUCAAUUGUUGUUAUGUCUAGAGGUGCCCCCUGCCCCCGUAUAUAAAGGAGCAAGGGGGGAGGGGCGGCCGGCCUAGGAGGGGGCGCGCCAAGGGGAGUCCUACUCCCACCGGGAGUAGGACUCCCUCCUUCCUUGUUGGAGUAGGAGAAGGGGAAAGAGGGGGAGAGAAAAAAGGAAAAGGGGGCUGCGCCCCUGGUCCAAUUCGGACCAGAGGGGGGGCGCAGGCCUCCUUCCUUUUGGCCUCUCUCCUCUAUUCUCGUAUGGCCCAAUAAGGCCCAUAUACUCCCCAGCGAAUUCCCGUAACUCUCCGGUACUCCGAAAAAUACCCGAAUCACUCGGAACCUUUCCGAAGUCCGAAUAUAGUCGUCCAAUAUAUCGAUGUUUACGUCUCGACCAUUUUGAGACUCCUCGUCAUGUCCCCGAUCUCAUCCGGGACUCCGAACUCCUUCGGUACAUCAAAACUCAUAAACUCAUAAUAUAACUGUCAUCGAAACCUUAAGCGGGCGGACCAUACGGGUUCGAGAACAAUGUAGACAUGACCGAGACACGUUUCCGGUCAAUAACCAAUAGCGGAACCUGGAUGCUCAUAUUAGCUCCCACAUAUUCUACGAAGAUCUUUAUCUGUCAAACCGCAUAACAACAUACGUUGUUCCCUUUGUCAUCGGUAUGUUACUUGCCCGAGAUUCGAUCGUCGGUAUCUCAAUACCUAGUUCAAUCUCGUUACCGGAAAGUCUCUUUACUCGUUCCGUAAUACAUCAUCCCGCAACUAACUAAUUAGUUGCAAUGCUUGCAAGGCUUAAGUGAUGUGUAUUACCGAGAGGGUCCAGAGAUACCUCUCCGAUAAUCGGAGUGACAAAUCCUAAUCUCGAAAUACGCCAACCCAACAUGUACCUUCGGAGACACCUGUAGAGCAGCUUUAUAAUCACCCAGUUACGUUGUGACGUUUGGUAGCACACAAAGUGUUCCUCCGGUAAACGGGAGUUGCAUAAUCUCAUAGUCACAGGAACAUAUACAAGUCAUGAAGAAAGCAGUAGCAACAUACUAAACGAUCGUGUGCUAAGAUAACAGAAUGGGUCAAGUCAAUCACAUCAUUCUCCUAAUGAUGUGAUCCCGUUAAUCAAAUGACAACUGUUUUGUCCAUGGCUAGGAAACUUAACCAUCUUUGAUUCACGAGCUAGUCAAGUAGAGGCAUACUAGUGACACUAUGUUUGUCUAUGUAUUCACACAUGUAUUAUGUUUCCGGUUAAUACAAUUCUAGCAUGAAUAAUAAACAUUUAUCAUGAAAUAAGGAAAUAAAUAAUAACUUUAUUAUUGCCUCUAGGGCAUAUUUCCUUCAGGGAUUCCCAUGCAACGGAUGCACUAGAGCUAUGAAUGCUCAACAAAAGAAAACUAGUGGGUGUGCAUCCAACUCGCUUGCUCACGAAGACCUAGGGCAUUUGAGUAAGCCCAUCGUAGGAAUAUACAAGCCAUGUUCUAUAAUGAAAAAUUCCCACUAGUAUAAAAAGACAACUUAUGAGACUCACUACAUGAGGAACAAGGUGCUACUUUGAAGCACAAUAUAUGAGACUCACUACAUGAAGAACAAGGUGCUACUUUGAAGCACAAGUGUGGAAAAAGAGAUAGUAGCAUUGCCCUUUUUAUUUUCUUUUUUUGGGCCUUUUUUUGGCCUUUCUCUUUUUUUUGGGCCUUUCUUUUUUUAUGGCCCCCUUUUUUUGGGCAAUGCUCUAAUAAUGAUGAUCAUCACACUUUCAUUACAACGUAUGAAUUACAACUCGAAACUAGAACAAGAUAUGACUCUAUAUGAAUGCCUCCGGCGGUGUAUCGGGAUGGUGCAAUGAAUCAAGAGAGACAUGUAUGAAAAAUUAUGCAUGGUGGCUUUGCCACAAAUACGAUGUCAACUACAGGAUCAUGCAAUGGCAAUAUGACAAAAGUAAUGCAUGUACGAUGAUGAUGGUGGAAGUUGCAUGGCAAUAUAUCUCGGAAUGGCUAUGGAAAUGCCAUGAUAGGUAGGUAUGGUGGCUGUUUUGAGGAAGAUAUAAGGAGGUUUAUGUGUCAUAGAGCGUAUCGUAUCACGGGUUUGGAUGCACCGGCGAAGUUUUCGCCAACUCUCAAGGUGAGAAAGGGCAAUGCACGGUACCGAAGAGGCUAGCAAAGGCGGAAAGGUGAGAGUGCGUAUAAUCCAUGGACUCAACAUUAGUCAAAAGAACUCAUAUGCUUAUUGCAAAAAUUUAGAAGUCAUGAGAAAUUCAAAUGCUACGCGCAUGCUCCUAGGGGGAUAGAUUGGUAGGAAAAGACCAUCGCUCGUCCCGACCGCCACUCAUAAGGAUGCACAAGCCAGGUACACUUCAUGUUUCAAAUUUGUUACACAACUUUAACCGUACGUGCAUGCUACGGGAUUUGCUAACUUCAACACAAGUAUUUCUCAAAUUCAUAAUCACCCAACUAGCACGACUAUGAUAUUAUCACCUCCAUAUCUCAAAACAAUUAUCAAGCAUCAAACUUAUCUUAGUAUUCAACGCACUCAAAAGAAAGUUUCACAUAUCUUGAAUACCAAGUAUAUUAACAUUAAGCAAAUUACCAUGCUAUUAACGACUCUCAAAAUAAUCUAAGUGAAGCAUGAGAGAUCAAGUUUCUUUAAAACAAAUCCACCACCGUGCUCUAAAAGAUCUAAGUGAAGCACUAGAGCAAAAAUUAUCACGCUCAAAAGGAUAUAAGCGAAGCACUAUGAGCAAAACUAUCAAGCUCAAAAGAUAUAAGUGAAGCACAUAGAGUAUUCUAACAAAUUUCAAUUCAUGAAUGGCUCUCUCAAAAGGUGUGUACAGCAAGGAUGAUUGUGGUAAACUAACUAGAAAAGACGCAAAUAAUACAACUAUACAAGACACUCCAAGCAAAACACAUAUCAUGUUGGUGAAUAAAAAUAUAGCUCCAAGUAAAUUACCGAUGGAAGUGGACGAAAGAGGGGAUGCCUUCCGGGGCAUCCCCAAGCUUUGACUUUUUGGUGUCCUUGGAUUAUCUUGGGGGUGCCAUGGGCAUCCCCAAGCUUAGGCUCUUGCCACUCCUUGUUCCAUAGUCCAUCAAAAGAAUUCACCCAAAACUUGAAAACUUCACAACACAAAACUCAACAGAAAUCUCGUGAGCUCCGUUAGAGAAAGAAAACAAAAGACUACUUCAAGGUACUGUAAUGAACUCAUUCUUUAUUUAUAUUGGUGUUAAACCUACUGUAUUCCAACUUCUCUAUGGUUUAUAAGCUAAUUUACUAUACAUAGAUUCAUCAAAAUAAGCAAACAACACACGCAAAACAGAAUCUGUCAAAAACAGAAUAGUCUGUAGUAAUCUGUAACUAACGCAAACUUCUGGAACCCAAAAAAUUCUACCAAAAUAGGAAGUUCUGGAAAAUUUGUUUAGUGAUCAGCAGCAAAAAUAAUCAACGCAAAAGCACGUUCCUGUAAUUUAUCAUAAUUAUAUUCGUGCACGCAAAGUUUCUGUUUUUCAGCAGAAUCAAAUCAACUAUCAUCAUAGGUUAUCCUAUAGGUCCUACUUGGCACAAACACUAAUUAAAACAUAAAACCACAUCCAAACAGAAGGUAGAAGGAUUAUUUAUUACUAAACAGCAAGGGAAAAUAUUGGGUUGUCUCCCAACAAGCGCUUUUCUUUAAAGCCUUUUAGCUAGGCAUAGAGAUUUUGAUGAUGCUCACAUGAAAGACAAGAAUUGAAGCACAAAUAGAGCAUCAUAUAGCAUGUGACAAACACAUCUAAGUCUAACAUACUUCCUAUGCAUAGGCAUAUUAUAGGCAAACAAAUUUGCAAGGCAAGCAAAAACUAGCAUAUGCAAGGAAGAAGAAGGUGACGAUAGCAAUCACAACAUGAAGAGAG
Molecule: long non-coding RNA, 74855 nt
Filed under: Triticum aestivum (bread wheat)
Lineage: Eukaryota; Viridiplantae; Streptophyta; Magnoliopsida; Poales; Poaceae
Description: long non-coding RNA (TAES_LNC002778)
Source: RNAcentral